RNAcentral lists this long non-coding RNA (59323 nucleotides) under Gossypium barbadense (sea-island cotton). RNAcentral's name for it is "long non-coding RNA (GBAR_LNC000157)". The record is from RNAcentral. Lineage: Eukaryota; Viridiplantae; Streptophyta; Magnoliopsida; Malvales; Malvaceae.
AAUGGGAAACAGUCGUAGGCAGUCUAAGAAGAGGUCUACAAAACCGACUCAGAGUUUGAUUAGAAACUGCCAAUGGUGCGUCUGGAUUUAACCUUAGCUAUUGGUUGCAACUCUAUGUCAUUGAAUGUACUAUUGCGGGGUUCAUGCGUAUCAAUCGAAUGGUGGUAAUCUUCCUCGACUGAUGUUAUUGUGUUUGUAUCUGUCAUUAUGAUUGAGCAUGUUUCUGUGUCUACGGUUGACCUAUCAGUGAAACGCGCUAGCCUUCUCCUUCUCCUCCUCCUUGCCUCCUUACCCCAUCCAUGAAUUGUGUUCCUUAUCCCCUGCGGAAGUAGGGCCGCCUUAAAGUUUGUUCCCAUCUGAAAGGAGAGUUGCUAUUGGCAUUAAACGCACAAAAAAGAAGCAGCUAAAUCACUGGAAAAUGUUAUAACUCAUGGCUGAAGUUUGAUCAUGUAAAUGAACAAUUAUAAUACCUGAGUGACCAGAGCAUAGAGUGGCAAAGUGAUGUAGCUACAUAUAAACUGCGCAAUAAACCUACAAGAUACGGACGGUAAUUUAAGGACAGAAAAUAGAUGAAAUUUUUACUAUGAAACCAAGACUAGCAAAAACAUAUUCAUACCCCAUAAUAACUCGUAUGAAAACAAGCGUAUGGUUGCUGAUUAAGCAUGAAUUAUAGCCAAACUCCCACUGCAAACAUAUCAACAGACUGUAAUUACAGUGCCAAGAUCCUAUCCUAUAUAUCCUUACCUAUCAUAUCAGAUUUUGAUUCUUAUGUUUAUAAUUCAUGGUUCUAUUUUGAAGGCCUUUUUACUAUGUGAAAUUACAGAAAGCAAUGGAGAAUGGUACAUUCUAUCAGCCUCAACAGUAUUAUUAGAUAUCAGUCCAGUCGGGGAAGAGAAAGUACCCAGACCCAGAAAAAUGAAGCCAGUUCGAAUGCAUUCUGCAGAGAAAUGACAACAAAAACAUUAGUUCGACGAAACAGUAAGUGUAAUAACUAGGCAGGCAAAUGGUGUCUGAAAUGUGUAUAUUGACUGCAUUGCUUUAAACAACAAACCUGGAAUAAAAUGAAAUGGAUAAGGGACAACAGCCAUUCUGGCUUCUUAAACCAGAAAAGUUCAUCCCGAGGCGUCAGCUUUGUUCCAGUAAAAUAGCCCGUUAUCCCAGCACUCUCCAGUGUCAAGGUUGCCAUGACAUUCUGCAACUUUGCUCCCACGAGAAGAACAAACUGCAUACGAAGUUACAAACAUGCGAUAUCAGAAUAACAUGAAAGAUUAACUCUUAUGUUUGUCCUUCAAGCGUUCAUUUUCCGGGUUGUAUGCAAGCACCAAUAAAAAUUAUAGUCAAAGGAAUCAAAACAAAUACCAGACGAGAAAAAGGGCGAAAGACUUACAGUUAUGGGAAUGAUAGCUAUCCAGAAGUAAAGAUUAGAGCCUGUAAAAAGGGAAAAUAGCCAAGGAAUCGUGAAUGUGAAUUGGCAGAACAGCUUAUAAUACGAACGCGCACCAUUCGAAAGUUCAGACAGGCAACAUGAUGAGAACAGUCAUUCCUACAUAAUCCUUUGUGCCUUAAACAAGCAGCAAAAAUGGCUAACUUGAGGGGCAAGAAAUCUAUUACUCUUGAUAAAAGUACAGCCAAGCAGCACAAAUAUGAUUGAUUUGAUCUCAAUCUUGCAAUGUGCAAUACCUUUCACAUUGAAUAGUAUGAAGAUAACAACAAAUCCCCACAACGUAAAGCUGCAAGAAAUUAAACCAACAGAUCAUUAGCAGCCAACAAUGACAGGCUUCAUUGAUCAUAUGACUGAAAAUAAUCAGAGAACAUUUCUACGAAAACAUUACUUGCCUAACGCCAACUAUCUUUUGAAAUUCUUCCUCCAUAGAACGAAUCAUAUAGCUAUGAAAAUCAUACUUCAGCAUCAAGUUGUGAUUCUGCCAUAAAUAGGGAAAAAGCAAAGGCAUAAACAUUCAUAAGCUGUUAUCGUUCCAUUGUGAAUGUUUGGCAUCAAGAGAUUUUCACCAUUUAAAUUAAAAAGUACCAUGAUGAACCCUUUGCGGAGCGUCAAAUAGUCUGCACGAACGACUGAACACCCAAAUUGCCGAAAGAAACAUAUCUGCAGGCAGAAAAAUAAAGAAUCUAUAACAGAAAAAAAUUCAUCAUUCUCAAGUGUAAGUGAAGUUGUUUAAAGCAAUUAAUGCCCUUCAAAGAUCUUACAUUAAGAGAAAAAAAAAGCACAUAGUUGAAGGAACUGCUUAUUCAAAGAGUAAGAAUGACAACUUCAGCAGCAAGAAGAAAUGUUCUGUACCUACCACCCAGAUAACAACUCGAUUUUGCGUCAAGGGAUUCGCUCUGUGGUUUACGAUGAAAGCCAUUUGUCUUUCCAUUAACGACUGUCUAUCUUGUCCUGCAACAAAUAAACUAUAAUCGUCAUAUAGUAUCUUGAAAUUUUUUGAAACAUCGUCUGCAUAACUUUGAUCACAGGUUUUGUGCAACAUCAAACUAUUAUCUGAAACUACUGAAAAUAUACUGUUUGGAUUUACCAGUUAAGAAACCAAAUUGGUCCUUAUGAGCUUCAUUCUCCCAUGCUCUCCAGCUACGAAUCUACCAAAUAGUUAUUCGAAAUGUGAGAAAAAAAUAGCAACUUAGAACUGUUAAUGCUUUUAUAAGAAGUAGAGUUGUUUUACAAACGACCAACCUUCACAAUUGCAAGUAACAUUGUUAAGCAACUGUAAGCUACAUGUGUGAUUGCCAUUAAAAAGAUGAAGCGAUGCAACCCCUCGAGAGCUUCAUACGAAACAAAUGGUUCAUGAUCCUGCAGAACAGAAUAAUUUAGUAUGGUGUAGAGAAACAUGCAAAGGGAAAAUAUGGAUUAGUUACAUGCCUCUUUGCAGGAAAUGUUAUUCAUGCCUUUCAAAAUCCUCGGAAAUGAGCGAGAAGCGGAAGCAAUCGAAAGCUGAAGCUCCUUGGAAGAAUCAUGUUCAUUUUCUUCAACAAUGUCAGACCAGGAGCAUGGUGCAAAGGAACUAUCAUCAUAGAACUUUGAUGGAAUACAAAUAUUAGCUAUUGACCUUGAGGUUGCUGUUAGAAGGAGCGACAUAAAUCCGAGCAUCAUUAGCUCUGAAGGAAAAAAAAAAUUAAUGGUGAAUAUGAAUAUGGCACUCAAAAUCAUAAUCAGGAAAUAACAUUUUCACACCAUACCUUCUUUCAUCUUCUCCAAAGCUGCAAGCAGAGAUUUUUUAUCAGUUCUCCUUAACCACUGCAACAAAAAUUAUUAAGUACAUAAGAUGAGUCUGAUGAAUUUGUUUGUAAACAAAAGCUACACAAACAUGAUUGAAAAAAGCUGAAAACAGGGAAACUGACGUUGGUUAGUUGGUGAAUAGAGCGCUCCACAAUCAAAGAAACUGCAAUAAAAACUGACAACACAGUAGCAAGAGCCCAUGUUGGGGUUAUGGCCACUGAUCUUUCUUCCUCAUUCUCCCCAUCUAACAUAAAAAUCAACAAAUUAUGAUGCUUAAGCUCAAGAACAAAGAGAAAAAAUAUUUCCAAAUCUUCAACAAUUUGAAUCCUCUCAUAUUUCAGAUUAAAACAAGAAGAAUGUACUGUACCCAAGUUCAUUUUAUUUUCCCUGCUUUCAAACGUGUGGGAAAAAACCCAAGUUUUAGCAUCAAUCAAGGUGGAAGCUUGUUUGAGUUCUGAGUCUGAUAAUAAAGUCUGAUACCAUGAAAGCCAAAAACUUUAAAGACAGAAUUAACAGACUUUUAAUCGUUUUUGGCCUCUCAAAUAUUCAAAGUUUCUUCUCUGUCUGGAGUCUGUAUUCUCUUUGUGUAUUAAAUGUCCAAUUUUUGCACGACCAAACAAAAAAAAAGGAAAGAAGGAAAUAGAUAAUUUACGGAAGAAACAGACAAAGCAACCGAACCUGGAAGAACCUACGUUUACAGUUAUAUCAGAUCUCCUUUCUAGCAAAAAAAAAAAAAACUUUUCUAUAUUAAAAAUUGCCUCUUAGCUUCUUGGGAAGUAAAAAUGGAAUUUUUAGAAAGGUUUUGGAAAGAACAAAUUAACGGAAGAGUGGAAAAUGACAAUGCUGAUGCACGUGGAACAACAACAAGACAGAUCUCGCUUGCUUCAUUCUCUCUGCAGUGAUUUUGUAGCUUACAUUAGUUUCAUUGACAACUAAUUUUCAGCUUUAAUUUUGCAACUUUUGUAGGAACAUUUCCUCCCUCUACAACCUCCUUUCUCUAAUGGUUUCUUUUUCCUUUAUUUAUUUUUAAAGGUAAAUUCAUUAAAUAAUAAAGAUUCGUUGUAGACGAUAAAAGAUAAGCUCCAUCAAUAUAACAAAGGUUUUAGUCUUAGCAUCAAUAAAAUAUAACACGUUGACAAUUGAUUUUGUCACAACUCAAAUACAAGAUAGAGUUAAAGUGAUUACAAACACUUAAUAUGAUAAGAAAACUAGCACGGAUGGUCCAAAGCGGCGAGCAAAAUUCACCAAAAAAAAUUAAGCAUUCACCAAACUAGAGAGGACAAUAACAAAAAUAUCUCUAAAAUCACUUGUAAAACAAAAGUUACAUGCAUAAGCAAAAUUAAAAAAACUUCCUACAAGAGAAUACGAAAACUUUUAAAACUGAAAACUUAUUAAACAAUAAAAAAAUAAAUAAAAAUAUAUAUAAAACUUAAGACAACAUGAGUCUAAAUUGACUCGUGAAAUUAUUUAUUAUUCUGAAAUACGCUCAAAACAGAAACAGAUUAAGAAACUAAUGAAGAGUCAUCUACUUUCUAAGAAAAAACUACAAGUAACCGAUAGAGUUCUAGGUCCAUCACAACUUGUGAAGACAAUAAAGCUACUUACAAAAUAGAUCUACAAUUAAAAAUAGAGAAGCCAUGUGGAGUGAAUGAGAAGAAUAAAGAAAGUAAUGGAUGGUGGGAGAGAAAAAAGGCGGACGAUAGCUACCUAGGAAGCUGACACCGCUGCUAAGUAAAAUAAAAUAUAAGAAGAGUUUUUAGGUUUUAAUAAUUUUUUUUUACUUUGUUUUUAAAAGGUACAAAAGUAGAAUUAUUUUUAUUAAUACGAUUUAUUUUAAUUUUUAUAAAUUUUUUAAUAAUGUGAUGUUAUCAUCUUAUAUAAAUUUAUACAAUUUUCUAAUAUUAAAUUUAUACAUUAUUAAUAAACAUAUAAUGAUGGUUAUAACACAAACCGGAGAUGAUUGAUUAUUAUGGUUUAUAGCAUGAGUGGGCAGAAGUUACUAAGAUUAAAGGUUUAAAUAUGUGGAACUGAUUGUUGGCAAGAUAAGGAAUAGGUCUUUUUAAGGGGUAUUUAUAAGGGGAUAGAGGCUUGGUGUGGGUCUUAGCCAUUGAGUUUUCCUCUCUCAAAUUGUAGUGACAAGAUGGUGUGUGUUAGCCUAGGAUAAUGUUAGAGCCAAUCUCUAAAUUGUGUAAGCUCGUUGAAUGUAAUGUUUUAGGCAAGGCCAUGAGGCUGAGCUCUUCCGGUGAAGUCAUUGCAAGGUUGUGCACUAUCAAGUUUCUAUAAUUAUCAAUUGUUCUAGCGAGAAAAGUCUAGGAUGAGGGUAUAACAAUUGUCCAUCUAGACCAAAGGCAGAUUAUAAAGUGGCCUAACUUGAGUCAUUGUCAUGAGCGAUGAUAACUACAUUCAUUUGACAAGGCUUUCAUAAAGUUUUGAAGUGUAACACCCCUAACCUGAAUCCGUCGCCAGAACAGGGUUACAGAGCAUUACUAGAGUUUACAGAACAAACAGACAAAAAUUUCACAUCAUAUUAUAUUCAUAUCAGAAAUAAAUCAAAAUCAUAUAUAUUGGCCCUUAUAUGAGCCCUCGAGGCCUAAAAUAUGUGUUAGAAACAAAUCGAGACUAAAUCGGGUACUUAAAGAAUUUUUCAGAAAAUAUUAAAAUUUUUCAAAGUUGCAAGGGAUACACGGCCGUGUGGCCAAGCCGUGUGACUCACACGGUUAGGAGACACACCCGUGUCUCAGACCGUGUGGACAUUCAUAAUAGGGACGCACGUCCAUGUCCCAGCCCAUAUGAAUAUACUGACUUGGGACACACGGCCAAACCACACGCUUGUGUGCUAAGCUGUGUGAGUAUACUGACUUAGGUCACACCGCCAAACCAUAUGUCCGUAUGCUAGGCCGUGUGAGCAAUUUGAGCAUACUUACUUGUGCAAAUUAAAAUAUACAGGGGACACACAGCAGUGUCACAUGGUCGUGUGUAACACACAGCUGAGACACACGCCUGUGUAGAUAAAAAUUGGUCAUCUUUCAAGCCACAUUUCUCACUGAAUUUGUCAUCAACCUAACUCAACAUUUUUGUACAUCUACAAACCACAACAAGACAUUCAAAACAAGCCAAAAUCAUGUCUCAAACAUGACAUAUUACCACAUACAACCAAUGUACCUUAGGUACCUCAAAUGACAAUUUAAAGACAUGUCAACCAAGUAUUUCAAUUUAACUAUUUGACCCAAUUCAUAUAUGCAUUUUCAAACCACAUAUUAAUCACACUUCAAACAUGAUAAAACCACUUAUAUAUAUACAUCAAAAUAUACCAACACAAAUCAUUUAAAUGGCUAGUCCCAACAAAAUCAAUGGCCAAAAUAACCUAUGCAUUCCAUUAUAAUCGGAAUUAAUUUAUUGAAAAUACCAAAAGAGUCCAUGGAUAGUGUAACACCCCUUAACCCCAACACGUAGCCGGAAUAGAGUUACGAAGUAUUACCGAAAUUAAACACUAAUAAACAACCAAAACCAAGUCAUAAAUCUAUAUUUCAAUUUAAAACUUCUCAACUUCCACCUUUAAGUCCCUAAUAUGGACCUACGAGGCCCAAAAUAUACUUAGGAAGUGUUUUGGGAUUAAACCGGAAACUUUGGAAACUUUUCCUUGAAAAUAGGGGCACACGCCCUUGUGGCCUGGGACAUGCCCGUGUGGCUUGCCCGUGGGACUCCCAUGGCCAUGAGGCCAGCUCGUGGGCAGAUCUGACUUACUCACACGGCUGUAGGACUAACCUGUGGGCAAGUCUGACUUUGCCACACGGCCUGGGCACACGCCCAUGUGACUAGGCCGUGUGAAAACCUAAUUUUUCACCAUUUUUAAUCUAUUUUCACAUACUAAACACACCUAAUUCAUGCCCAAAACAUUUACUUAUAAAUCUUGAUAAAAUAACAUUCAUCAAACCUUUCAAACUUAACAAAUUUUCAUUCUUUCAUUUUAUUACUUCUUAAGGAUUAUGCACUACAUUUACAUUCAAAAUAUAAAACAUUUACAAGUGACAAACACCAAACCUAGUACAUGCCGCAUUUCUAAAAGAUAGAUGCAUCACCAAAAUUGAGCUGAGGUCAGGAUUGACUCGGAUGCUUGAUUGAACUUCAACUUUACCUAACCUGCGCAUGGGAAACAACCGUACGCUGAGUAUUGGAAAUACUCAGUGGCAUUAUCAUAAUUCAAAUUAUAACAACAAUAAAAUAUCAUAAACAUACAUAAAUUAGCAAAUCAUACAUACAAAUCAUAUAUAUAAAUUCAUACCAAACUAUCAUAUUUCCAUUAUAUCAUUUCCAAUGAUAGAUCCUAUAAAUCAUCAAUGAGAUUUCAAAUAACUCAUGAACCUUUGAUUCAUCUCUCAACCACAUAUAAUUAUUCAAUUCACAUUUCAAAUAUGAACACCUCAUGAACCUUUGGUUCAUACCUUCAAUCUCUUUACGAAUUUCAUCUCACAUUCCAUCUUUCAAUAUCACUUUCUCAUUUCAUUCAAUAGCUCAAUUAAUCAAAUUCAUUUGAUUUUAUUAUUUCACUUAUUUUCCCCUAUUAACAUGACUCGGACUUUGGCGGAUACACGGAUCCAACCAAACACACCAGAAUAGCGACCAACACCUCAUCGGAUAGUUCGAAGCAAAUAAGUGACGACCAACGUCUCAUUAGCUAAGCCGAAGCAAAGUGGCGACCAACGCCUCAUCGAAUCUAUCCGAAGCAAUAAUGACACACCAAGUGUCCCAUUGACUCGAAGUCGAAGUAUUCUUGAGCCUUUCCAAUCCUAUGGCAUGCCAACUAUAUCCACUAAGCCCAACUAGUUAAUAGGGUAUCGGAUUACUUCCUCUAUUUCAAUCAAUUCACAUCAAUUGCACUUUAACCACAUUUUCUCUCAUAUUUCUCAAUUGAAAUUCAUAUGCAUACCAACAUUACUCAAUUCAAUCAUACAAUUCAAUUUCACAUACAUAUAUUUAUUCAUCAAAUAAAUCUAAUUCACAUUCAACUUAAAUAUCAAUAUUUACCUCACAUUCAAAUUCCAUACAAAUAUAUUAAAAUUAAUCAUUUAAUAAGAAAUAACUUGAAUUAUGAUAAUACAAACCGAUAUUUUUUUUCUCGAGCUAUUCCUUGAUCACUUUUUCUUUUCCCUUCAUGUUCGACGUCUCGGUUUCCUUGUUUGCUACGAAAAUUAGCAUAAGUACAAUUAAUUAAUAAUACACAUAUUUUAUAUAAAAUAAUAACUUUUCAUGCAACUUUUACCUAAAUCCCUAAUUUAUCCUAACCAUUUUCAUUUUCUUCCUUUUUACAAUUCACAUCAUUUUCUUAUUCAAUUUCCAUCAAAACUUCAAUAUAACUAUCAAAAUUUCACCAUUUUUCCAUAAUUUCGAAUUUCUUCUUAAUUUAACCCCUAAAAUUCAAAACUUAUAGACUAGUUUACAAAUUAGUCCUUUAAUCAAUUUUAAUCAACAAUUCUAUCAAUUUGAUCCCUAAUUUCAUCAUUUAUUCAACAUAAACCUUACUCAAAAGUCUAUCAACUUUCAAUAUUUCCACACAAAUUCAAGAGUACUUUACUCUAAGACUCCAAAAACAUCAAAAUCACAAAGAAAUAGACUUAAUUGACUUACCAAUUUAACUUCUAAGCUUUCAAAUCCUAAUUUCUCCUUUUUCUCUUCUUUUCUUCUUUCUUUCCCUAGUUUUCGUGACUUUCUCUGUAACUUUUCUAUUCUAUUUUUUUUAUGAUUUGUUUAUUAUUAUUAUCAUUUACUAAAUUAAUAAUUAAUAAAAUAUCUAAUUAAUACAAAUAAAAAUACUACAUGUGUAUUCAUACAAACAUGUACACAUGUAUUAAUCCCACAUCAUACAUUUUUUAUUAUCUCAAUUAAUAGAUAAAAUAUAAUAAUAAUAAUAAUAAUAAGUAAAUAUCUUUUACUUAAUAAAUAAGUAAAUAUAUAUAACAUACAUUUGUACUAAUAAUUUAAAUACACAUUUAUUUAUUCUUUAUCUUACACAUGUCACUAAUUUGGUUUAAAUACUAAUUUCGUCCCUUGUCAUUUUUCUCUAUUUUAAAAUUAUUUUUUUACGCUCUAUUCAAUUAGUCCUUUUUAAUAAUUACUUCUAAUUAAACUAAGUUCAUCUAAUCAAAAUCUAAUUCAACCCAUAACUAACUUCGUAAAUAUUUUUAAUAAAUAUUUACGGACUCAUUUUCCUAAGACGGAGGCCCUAAAUUCAUUUUUUCUGUAAUAGCCUGAAUUUCAAUGAUGUCGAAAAUAGUGGUUCGAGACCAUCAAAUCCGACAAAUGAACUCGUAGGUUAUAUUAUUUAAUAUUUACGAGCCAAAUGUAGUUUUUAAAAGAUUUUUGGAAUAGUAAAUUGUGUUUUAUAAAGAUUUAUUUGGUCAAGAAAUUGAGAAAAAGAGGUAUCGAGAUCUCGAUGUUAUAAACUGAGCCAUAAAUAUUUUUAUAAAUAUUUACGGAAUGUCAAUAAGAUAGUAUUAAAAUUUCGUUAGAAAAUUUUGACGUUUGGGCGGUCAAUUAAAUAAAAAGGAUAAAAUUGGAAAAUGUGUAAAAGUUGCUAAAAGGAUUAAAUAGCUCAAUUGUCAGAUGAGGAAGGACCUAAAGUGAAAAUAAGCCCAAAGGAGAUAUUUUGGGCGGCAAUAGCUGAGAAAAAUCAGGAAAUGGGUGAAAUAAGGGCAAAAUUGGAAAAUUGCCAAAAUUAGCUAAAUAAAAAUGGGACUAAAUUGGAAUAUCUAGAAUUCUCUUCAUUUCUCUUCAUAUUCAUCAGCUGAAAAACAGCCAUUGAAGGGCGUUCAAGCUGGUUUUCAUGCUCUAGCUUCAUGUAAGUUUAAUUCUUGCUUUCUCCUUGAAAUUUCUAUGUUUUUGGAAUUUUACAAUUGGGUCCAACUUACUAUUUCAUUAGUUUUUGAUUCCAUGGAUAAUUUUUAAAGUUUUUAUGGAUGAGUGCUGAAAUAAUAUGAUGAAUAAUCAUAUAAUUUAAGCUUUAAUUUUGGUAUAUGAUGAUUUUAUCAAGUAAAAUUGAUGGAAAUUCAUUUUAGGACCUAAUUAAGAAAGAGUUUGGAAUUAAUGUCUAAUGCUAAAGUUAUGAUUUUUAGGGGUUAUGAAGAAGUUUAAAAUGAUAGACUAAAUUAUUAAUUAAGAAAAAUUAGCUCAAUUGAGGGGUUAAUUGAGCAAGGACUGAAUUGUAUAAACUAUAAAAUUUGGGGCAAAAUGGAAAUCAACAUUUUUCACUAAAACUGUUUUGGACAGUAGCAGUAGUGUAACUUUGAAAAAUCACCAAAAAUUUUAUAAAUUGAAUUAUAGUAUGAAUAAAAUAUGAAAUUAAAGCUUAUUGAGUCUAGUUUCUUAUAAAAGAAACGAUGUAAGCAAUGGAAUUGUGAAUCAUGAGAUAUAAUAAAUUUUAUGAGACAAGGUCAGAAUGAUUUCGGGUCCCCCUGUUUUGACUUUGGAAAAUCAUAAAAAAAUUGGUGAAAAAUGAUUAGGGGCUUAAAUUUAUAUGUUUAGAAUCCAUAAUGAGCCUAUUUUCUAUAGAAACAAACGAAAACAUCAUUUGAAUCUUGUACGAGGAUAUAAUUAAUUUUUAGUGAAGAAGAGUCGGAACUGUUAGACAGCAGAAAAGGGGUAAAUUUAAAGAAUAAACUGUACUUAUUGACUAAACCAAAAAUUCUGAAAAUUUUAUGGUAAGAAGAUAUAUGAGUCUAGUUUCAGGGAAAAUUAUCGGAUCUUAAUUUGGAGUUAUAUAGCUCCAGAUAUAAAUAAUUUAGUGACUAUGACACAGAUGGACAACUUGAAUAUUUAUAAAAGUAAAUAAUAAAGAUUAUAGAUAAUGUUACUUACAAGUGUGUUAUAUACAUUAAGGAUGUGGAAUGGAGAGGAGGAGGAGGAAAAUAUAUAUGAAUAUCCAGCUAGCAUGGCUAAUUUGCAUGUUUUAGGCUUAAGGACUAAAUUGAAUAAAAGUAAAACUUCAGGGGGUAAUUUUGUAAAAAUGUCAAAAAUGACCAAAUUGAAGGGAAUGAAUUUUUUUAUUAUCUAAAUUAAUAAAUUGAAUGAAAUUUUCAAUUUAAGAUCGGGUGAAAAUUGGGAAAAUGGUAAAUUACCAAAAUGCCCCUUAAUCUUGAUAUUUCUGCAAUUUCGCCAAGUAAGUUUGUGUACCUUGAAUUAUAUUCUUAAAUGCUUGAAAUGCAUAUUUUUUAUAUGAAUAUGAUUUGAAUGUUCAUUAUAUGGAAAUUUAUGAAACAUUGAUAUAUUUGAAAAAAAAAGGGGAAAAAAUCCCGAUUAAAUGGAAGGAAAUUUCGAUGGAUCUCUGAAAGGGAAUUGACGGUAAAAAGGAUCUAGCCCGGACGGGUGAUCCUAUCCUAAUAUAGCCCUCCCGAAGAAUAUGUGGAAAAUGGAUUUAGCCCGGACAGGUAAUCCGAAUUAGGGUCUAAAUUUAGCCUGGACUGGUAAUUCAGAUCCAAGCUCAUUAGAGUAAUUGUCGUUGCAGGGGAUUUAGCCUGGACUGGUAAUCCCGACAAUACUCUAUGAAUUUAUAUUACAGGGGUUUAGCCUGGACUGGUAAUCCCACUGUAAGGAUGAGGUUCGCGGGAGUGUGCUCUCUGAUAUGGAAUGUGUAAGACCAUGGUUGAAAGAUACCAUGGCAACCUGAUAUGAAAUGUGUAAGACCAUGGUUGAAAGAUACCAUGGCAACGUGAUAUGAAAUGAAUAAGACCAUGGUUUAAAGAUACCAUGGCAACCUGACAUGAAAUGAGUAAGACCAUAGUUGAAAGAUACCAUGGCAACAUGACAUAAAAAUGAAUAAGACCAUGGUUGAAAGAUACCAUGGCAACAUGACAGAAAACGAGUAAAACCAUAGUUGAAAGAUACUAUGACAUCAUGUCGAAGAUAAAUAAGAUCGAGGAAGAGAAACGCCAAGAUAUCUAUUGAACAAUCGAUAUUCAGGUAAUAUGUAUCAGAUGGAAUGGUUAUAUGAAAUGGUUGUGUGAAAUGUUUACAGGAAUUGGUCAUAUGGAAAUAUAUGUACAAAAUAGUUGUAUGAAAUAAUUAAGAAGAUAGAUAAAUGAAAUAAGUAUAGGUACAUGGAAUUUAAUUUAUGUUAAGUUUAAUACGAACUAUUACCGAAAUAAAUAUAUACAAGAUAUAAGGAAAUGAUGGUGCAUGAAUUAUUGAUAUAACGAAAUGAAUGAUAUAUGCUUAUGAAGAAACAGUAAGAGAAUAAUAUAUUUUGUGACAUGUACAUAUAUAAUUAUCUUUGAUAUGUUGAUACAAGGAAAUUAUGUAAGUUGAGACUAUUAUUAAACUCAAGUGUGAUAUGUUGAGAAAAUAGGUAUAUCAAUGUUGAAUUUAUAUGAAAUAUGUGCAAGUAUACUAACAAUGUUGUUGUUUGACGCUUAGACAAGUGCCAAGCUAUGACAUGAUAUGAAAUGAAUAAGACCAUGGUUGAAAGAUACCAUGGCAACCUGACAUGAAAUGAGUAAGACCAUAGUUGAAAGAUACCAUGGCAACAUGACAUAAAAAUGAAUAAGACCAUGGUUGAAAGAUACCAUGUCAACAUGACAGAAAACGAGUAAAACCAUAGUUGAAAGAUACUAUGACAUCAUGUCGAAGAUAAAUAAGAUCGAGGAAGAGAAACGCCAAGAUAUCUAUUGAACAAUCGAUAUUCAGGUAAUAUGUAUCAGAUGGAAUGGUUAUAUGAAAUGGUUGUGUGAAAUGUUUACAGGAAUUGGUCAUAUGGAAAUAUAUGUACAAAAUAGUUGUAUGAAAUAAUUAAGAAGAUAGAUAAAUGAAAUAAGUAUAGGUACAUGGAAUUUAAUUUAUGUUAAGUUUAAUACGAACUAUUACCGAAAUAAAUAUAUACAAGAUAUAAGGAAAUGAUGGUGCAUGAAUUAUUGAUAUAACGAAAUGAAUGAUAUAUGCUUAUGAAGAAACAGUAAGAGAAUAAUAUAUUUUGUGACAUGUACAUAUAUAAUUAUCUUUGAUAUGUUGAUACAAGGAAAUUAUGUAAGUUGAGACUAUUAUUAAACUCAAGUGUGAUAUGUUGAGAAAAUAGGUAUAUCAAUGUUGAAUUUAUAUGAAAUAUGUGCAAGUAUACUAACAAUGUUGUUGUUUGACGCUUAGACAAGUGCCAAGCUAUGACAUGAUAUGAAAUGAAUAAGACCAUGGUUGAAAGAUACCAUGGCAACCUGACAUGAAAUGAGUAAGACCAUAGUUGAAAGAUACCAUGGCAACAUGACAUAAAAAUGAAUAAGACCAUGGUUGAAAGAUACCAUGUCAACAUGACAGAAAACGAGUAAAACCAUAGUUGAAAGAUACUAUGACAUCAUGUCGAAGAUAAAUAAGAUCGAGGAAGAGAAACGCCAAGAUAUCUAUUGAACAAUCGAUAUUCAGGUAAUAUGUAUCAGAUGGAAUGGUUAUAUGAAAUGGUUGUGUGAAAUGUUUACAGGAAUUGGUCAUAUGGAAAUAUAUGUACAAAAUAGUUGUAUGAAAUAAUUAAGAAGAUAGAUAAAUGAAAUAAGUAUAGGUACAUGGAAUUUAAUUUAUGUUAAGUUUAAUACGAACUAUUACCGAAAUAAAUAUAUACAAGAUAUAAGGAAAUGAUGGUGCAUGAAUUAUUGAUAUAACGAAAUGAAUGAUAUAUGCUUAUGAAGAAACAGUAAGAGAAUAAUAUAUUUUGUGACAUGUACAUAUAUAAUUAUCUUUGAUAUGUUGAUACAAGGAAAUUAUGUAAGUUGAGACUAUUAUUAAACUCAAGUGUGAUAUGUUGAGAAAAUAGGUAUAUCAAUGUUGAAUUUAUAUGAAAUAUGUGCAAGUAUACUAACAAUGUUGUUGUUUGACGCUUAGACAAGUGCCAAGCUAUUGAUUGAAUGGUAACAUGUUUAAUUAUAAAGAGCAUUGAAAUGGUAAGUACUUAGAUGAAAAUAUAAUUUAAGAUUUUGCGAAAUUUUUUUUUAUGAUCUCGAUUUUAUUCCAGUUGAUUUCUAAUGUAUGUUUUGGGCUUCGAGGGUCCAAUAGAGAGACGUUAUGAUUAUUUCAAAAUAUGAAUAAUAAAUGACUCAAAAUUAUCUGAAAAUGUUCAGUAAACUCCGGUAAUGCCUCGUACCCUAUUCCGGCAAUGAAUACGGGUAGGGGGUGUUACAUUUUCGGUGACCGUGAAAUAUGGGUCGUUACAAAUAGUGUGAUUCAGCUCCGACCAACUUCCAACCCAAAUGAGCUUCUGAAUUACUAUAAAACAUGGAAAAAUAACACAGAGUAAGCUUUUAAGCUUAGUAAGUUCGAAUAACAUAGAAUUUAACUUACCAUUUAAUCACAUUUAAGGUAUGCAUACAAGACAUAUUCAAAUCAAUUUGGCUAAAAAGUCUAAACACAUAACCUCAACAUAUUAGCCAUGUAAACACAUAUAAUAGCUCAUAAUCAUGGAUGAACAUAGUCAUUAAGCAAGUUCCACAUACAUGUAUCAACCGAAUCAUGUUUCAAUAUAUCAAGUAAUAUCAUUUCCAUGUAUAUACCGAUAAUAGUUUGUACCGAACUCAUUUUGUCUCAUAACAGAACAUUGCCCAUUGAACCGUUUAAAAUAUCGUUGGAUACAUGGGUAGUACACACGAAGUGUACAAAAUUGUAAUCAGUCAAUUCAUGUACAUGUAUGCUCAUAUGAGCAUGUAAACGGGAAGCUCUUCCAAGCUAUAUAACGAGAAGCUCAUGUGAGCUAAAUAACGGGAAGCUCAUGCGAGCUGUAUAUCGGGAAGCUCAUGAGAGCUGUGGUGUGUCCGCAACACAUGCAGGACUACAACCAAAACGAUAACCCUAAUGACAUAUCAUUUGUAUCCUCCGAAUUUUUAAUGUUCAAACUGGACUCAGAAAUUAUCGGAUAUGUGAUCGGUAAUUAUACAUGGCAAUUGUACAAAUCACACACAAUAAUAUUCAAUUUUAAAACAUGUAAAUGUACCAUUUAGUUACACGAACUUACCUCGACUAGUGUAUGUAGAUACGAAGGCUACUAAUCCGUUACUUUUCCUUUGUCUCGAUCUAACUCCUUACUAGUCUAUCUAGAUCUAUACGAAUGAAUUUGACUUAAUUCAAUAUAAUUCAUAUUUAAUUCAGUCCAACACAUAUUUUUGGAAAAAUUACUAUUUUGUCUUUAUACUUUUUAUUUAUUACAAUUUAGUCUCUAGACUCAAAAAAUGAAAUUCAUACAAUUUAAUUCUUAUUCAAGCUUAGCUGAUUUUUAUACAUAUUAAUAGUAGCCCAUGUAUUUCACAAAAUUCAAAAUUUUACCAUAAAUUUAUCAUCUUUUCAAUUUUGUCCCUAAUUGAUAAUUUCAUCAAAAUUAUCUUUACAAAAGUUGUUUAUCUAACAGCAACCUUUCAUUUUCUAUUAUAAAACUUCAAAAUUUAAGCAUACUCAUCCAUGGAAAAAUCUUAAUACUUUAACGGUUUUGCAAAUUAAUCCCUGAGAUAGUUAGAUUAAGCUAUUACAAUCUCGAAAACAUAAAAAUUAUUAAAAACGGGACAAAAAUACACACCUAAAUAAGUAAAAAUAAGGUUGCUGACUUCAAGCUUUCAUGGCUAGGGUUUCCAUCUUUUUUAUUUUAUUUUAUUUGGUAAAAGAUGAUGAUAUUAGAUUAUUUUAUUUAUUUAUCAUCUUUUAUCAUUUCUUUUUCCAAAGUUAACUUUAAUAAUUUAUUAAAUUUCCAAGGAUGAAUAAUCAUUUUUAUCCACUAACUACUCUAAAUGGUCUAUUUACUAUAUAAGGACCUCCAAUUUAAAAUUCCGUAGCUAUUUAAUACCUUCAGUUAUUAGAAUUUAAUUUUUUCACUUUAUGCAAUUUAGUCCUUUUUAUUAUAUUAGACAUAUAAACGGUAAAAUUUCUUAACAAAAUUUUUAUACGAUAUUUUUAUCAUACUAUAGGCUAUAAAAUAAUAUUAAAAUAAAUUUUCUUUCGACCUGAAAUUUGUGGUCCCAAAACCACUAUUAUUAUUUUACUGAAAAUGAACUGUUACAUGAAGCGUCAUCUUUAUUCAUUGAUCGUCAUGCAUUUGUAUUAAUUGCCUUUGGACAUUCCGAUUAGAAUUGUUAGGAAUGCAUUGUUUCUUAUAGCAAUCGUUUCGUUUGGAAUUCCAAUUUAUAUUCUGGCCCAAAUAUCUAAUAUUUUUAAAAAUGGGUUAGUAGUUGAAGAGCCAGACAAUUGAUUCUCGAUUCUCGAUUCAAUCCUUGAUUUAAUCAGUUUGAUAAUAUAAAAUAAUAAUUAUAAUUAAAAAUACUUUAAUAAGCCCAACUAUAUUUUGGACUUCUAAUUUAUAGCUCAUUUAGUAAGCCCAACUAGUGUUAGCCGAAACCUCUUAACUUAAUUUUAUCGCUUCACGUUUCAUUUUCCUGCUGCCGCCUCUCAUUUUCUUUCUUCGAUUCAUUUUUUAUUUUCAUAACCUUUCGGCUUUCACUUUACUCUGUGCAUGUAUUUUCCCUUUUCAUUCUAAGUCUAGGAAAACCACUUUGCAGUUUAAAUGAAGUCUUAAGGAUUCAAUUCAUCUCUUUCUCUUUCGUUGCUCUAGUUUUAUGGUUAUUGAUACCCACUGCUCAAAUAUAGUCACUUUAUUCCGGAGUGAUUUGAUAAUAAAAAAUACAAGUUCAAGAUUAAAAAAAAUUAAAAAUUAAAUAAUUAUAAACAUUGAACAUCAAAUAAGUGAUUAUAACUAAAGUCAUGACAAAUGGUGGAAUUCUGUGACAAAUUUGACCUUGAUCAUAGUUUCAAAUCAUCAUUAAAGAAAGCUAUGAAAUAACUCUUCAAACACGUGUGACAAUAGGAUCAUAAUUGUUUCUGGCUCGGGAACGAGCGUCAAUGGUGUGCUGCCAACAUAAAAAUGUGAGCAGUUUUCCAGCGAGAGAACAAAGCACAUACCAACUGUUCUUGAUAUACUUCCAUCGGUAAUUAUUAUAAAAAUACCAUGAGCUUUGCAUGAAACCAGGUUGAAUAUAAAAUUCCACUUCGGUGACCUCAAAAUUGGCUUUGCAUGAACCAAAACAAACGCUAGAAAAAGCCUAGAAGGGGUUGGUUUGAUCUUUGCGUAGAUAUUUUGGUUAUCCAUCCUUUUCAUCACAUUAAUAUAUUUUCUUCCAAAAAAAGAAAAGAAAAAACCCACCAGCUAGAUUGAUGAGACUAGAUUUCACAAGAUAUGGGUACUAUCAUUUUCUUCCCACCAUUUUUGUAGUCCUUAUUUAACCUAAUCUUUUGUCUGCUUAGAGAACAGGAAACUGUAUAACAUGGGACAAUAAAUAGGCUUGAAUUCCACUUCUUUUUUUGUUCUUUUUAAGCAGGAUUUAUCAGACAUAGAUUAGAAAGAAAGAUCAUUCAUAACUCUGGUCUAUCUGAUAGUUGGAAGACACGGUGAAGACUGAAGAGUUUCACAUUUGGGCCCUAUUUUAUCACUUUUGAGCUGCUCCCCUAAGGUGUUUAUUUCAUAGCUGUAAAGUUGUAAGAAAAUAUGAAGAAUUGGCUCUUUGGGUCCAUUGAUACAUUUAUACACGCUUUUUUAUGACAGCAGGUAAGAUCUUGAGCCGUCCUUUUUCAACUUUUCUGGUUUUUUAUUUCAUAGGACUACCUUUCAAACAUAAAUAAUGGGAAGAAUCUUUAAACAGAUUCAUGAAAUUAAAGGUGAAAAUCUUUUGCCAAACUUUUAAAUUAAGGGAUUGGUUCUUUGGAGUGUAGCAGAUGAUUAGCAAAAGUUUUAAACAAAAGCUUUUCUCAUCAUUUUUUGUUAAGCUAUGGUUUCCAAAUGUUCCCUGAAAACUUUUAACAUGUCAGAAAAUGUGACAAUUCCGACCAAACUACAAUCAUCUUCUAUAACCCAAACAUAGUUAACUCUAUGAGAAAUGGCUUGGAUCAUCACUGCAACUAAUGAACUCUUGGGAUGGCACACAAUUGCCUCAGCUCUUCUCACCAUCCUGGCUGAAUAACUCAUUGACCUACUAUAUCUUCCGGAUCUUGGCAAUGGUGAGGCUGCCAUGGAUUCUUCAUCAGAUGACGAUGAUGAGAAUCCACCAUAUGACAUUGACAUACUGAAAUGUUCAAGCAUUCCAUUCAAGUUUCUCUCCUUCAACCUUGAUGAAACGACCCGAACAAGGUCUUCCGGUGGACCUCCGCAGUCGAUGUAGGCCAUUAGAUCCCCGGAGGACAAGGUCUUGACGGCUGCUGCCACCGUCUCGUCGCAGCAGGCCAAGGUGAAGGGAGAAAUUUCUCCAAUCAAACAGCCUUCACUGUCAACCACAGCCACUGAAGUUUGGUCCACAAGGGUUCGAGAAAUGGCUCCUAUGGCUGCAGAAGCAGGGAAGUGGUACUCAAUGGUGAGGAUUUCAGAGCUGAUGAUGCCAAGAGUGUCGAUGGAGAAAGCAGGGACAGGUGAAAAGAGGCCAAUUGAGCUGAGUAGGAAUCUAAUCACAUCUUCUUGAGUUAACCAGCAGAAUUCACGGCCUUUGUGGACAGUGACCGUCGGUGAUGGCUUCUGGUGCUGUUUUCUCUUGUUGCUGAGCUUGGUUUUGAUUGGCACCACAAGGUUUUGAGCUCCUUCAAGUAUAAGAUCUAUUGCUUCUAACAAGCUGAAAACAAAAAGAGAAAUAAUUAUGAUUAAUCACUUGAAAUGAAUUGGAUUCCAUCAAUUGACAGCCCCAAAGAUAAAACAAAAACUGGGAAAACGUAAAAAAAAGAAAAAGAAAAAAGAAAAAAAACCCAUAUAGCCAUAAACAUUGAAAGAAGUGAAGAAAAUCCAGAAACAAGAAGAAUCGAAACAUGUCAAUUAUCAGUACCUGCAAGACGGUUCCACAUGCAAAACAAGGCCAGGAAUCUUAGGCAAAAGCACUGAAACAGGUUCCUUCAAAGCAACAGAAGGUGACACCAAGUUUUCAUCUUUGCAAAGAUAACAAAUCACAUCCACCAUACAAACUUUGCCUACACAUCUACAAUCAUCAUCAUCAUAAUUGUCGCAAAAACCAGCAGCCGACUCAAACCCUGAACUGGUUUUAGCCUUAUGAUCGCAACUCCACACACUAACGAAGUUAUCAUCCGAGGUUUUCAAGACCUCAAGAGCCUCAGCAAUGGUAGAUGUUACAGAAAGUGACCUCAGCGCUGGCUUGCCAAGACACAAGUCAGACAACUCAUGUGACAAUAACCUCACUGCCAUGCAAAAGAAUACUACGGAAAAUUGAGUGACUAAAAGAGAGGAAGAAAGGGCUUCUUUCUUCUUCUUUUUUCUGAAUUUUGUUUCUUGAUUUCUUGAGGAUGGAUGCAGAUACUGGUGAGGGUUAGGGGUAUAUAUAAGAGAGGGGGGGAGGGGGAAUUUGUUUGGAAAAUGAAGGGAAAGAGGGGAGGUACGGUAUAAAGUACAAAAUUAAGGGCAAAAACAAUGUAGGGUCCAUUAAGCUUGUCUUAUAAUAUGAAUAAAAAUGAAUAAUUGAGAUUACAGAGUUGAACAGAGAAAAAGAAUAAUUGAGGUUACAGAUCAGUUGUCACGUUGUAAUUCGGUCAAGCCAUCGGUGCCUGAGUUUAUAGUUUUAUAUUUACAGUAAAGAGUUGUGUUUACUUUAUAAUCUUCCACCAUGUUUGCUAUCGUAUUUUUAUGUAAAUUAUUUUUUUUUCUUUUCAAAAUAAUUAAAUAAUUAAAUUUAAAUGUAAUUAUUUAUAAUUAUAUAGCUGUAAGGUAUUCGGUUAAUCAUCGUAAUUGAUAAAUCUCGUUAAGUGUAAUUAAAACAUCAAAUUAUAAUUUUUAAUUUUUAAAAGGUUAAAAAUUAAAGUAAUUAUAAAAUAACUUUCCAAACACUCAUAUAAUUUUCAAACAUUUAAAUCUAAUUUUUUUUUAUAAAAUUUAUAUUAGAAGCAUAGUCCCAUAUGAAUAAUAAAAACAAAAUUAUUCGUAAGAAAUUAUAUUAUAGUAAUUAAUAUUUUUUUAAUUUAAAUUAUAUAAUGGUAUAAUGGUAAUUUUGUGCUAUCAAAUAUGAGACAAGUGUAAUUAUAUUGUAAUUACAUUUUGUCAAUUAAAUAUACCUAGAUAAUAUAAUUUCUUGUAAUUAUAAGAGAGUGUAAUUACUACUUUAAUAAUUAUUACUCUAAUAAUUACACUUCUAUUCAAUUAUACUUAGUUGUAUAAAUUUACCUUAUAUAAUAUUUUUAAUAAUUCAAUUACACCAUGUUGUGGGUUUUUUUUUUACCUUUUUAAAGAUUUAAAGUUAAGAUUUUAGAAUACAAAGUUUGGUAUUAAGUUUUAGCGUUUGAAUCGAGGAUUUAGGAUUUAGGAUUUAAAAUUUACAAUUUAAUGUUUAAAUUUUAGAUUUCAAGACUUAAAAUUUAAUAUUUAGGAUGUAUUUAGAUGGGAAAUUUAGAGAUUUUUAAAAUAUUAAUUGUUUUAAAAUACUAUCAAUUAUAAUUACAUUGUUUCAAUAAAUAUUUGUUUUAAGAAAAGGGUAAAUUAUUGUAAUAUCUUGAGCUAAAAAAUAAUUAUAAAAGAAGGACAAUGAUGUUAAAAAUAAAUAAUAUAAAAAUACAAUAUGAAUAUUUUAAAUUUGUAAAAAAAUACAAAUAUAUAUAUUAGAACUAAAUAGAAAUGAUAGUUUGGAAUUUAACUUCUUUUUGUAUAAAAAUAGGUAUCUUCUUAUGUUUUAUGAUCUGAACAUAAUUUAAAACUUGAACUUAGUUCAAAUACAUGGGAAAGAAAUACACUUUCAUUUCUUCCAAUCACUUAUUAGUUUUGAAAGUUAACUUUUUACAUUGUGUAUUAAAUGCAAUAAGAUUAUAAGAAAAUUGAAAUAACUAUUCAUUUUUAGAAUUUUAAAAACCUUAAAAAUUCCGAAAACUUUUUCCUCUAAAUUUCUCUUUCAAACACAUCUUAUGGAUUUAGUUUAGUAUUUAGGUAAUGACAAAUUGUGAGGGUAGGGGUACCUUUUAGAUUUUGUCUAUCCUAAUCUUCUUUUUUAAAUAUCUAUAAAGAUAUAAAUUCGUAUUUAAAUUUGUCAAUAAAGGUUUGGUUGAAAUGAAAAGAUUGAAGUUAGAAAAUUUUGAUAUCUUAAGUUCAGGUUCUACCGAUAGUAAAAACCAUGUCGAGUUCUCUUUGAAAUUUAGUUUAAGUACUCUAAUAUUUGAGUUUGAUUUUCAAUUCAAUUGUGUUUUGUACUAUGUUGAGUUUAGUUAUAACUAUUCAAACAUGUAUUGUUUGCAACCAUACAUAUAAAAUUUAUUUUUAAAAAAUGACAAAAUUCGACUAAAGUAUUAGUCUAGCUCAUUUCGAUACUAUUGCAAACUUCUAAAGAUUUCAUGUUCGAGUAAUGAACUUAAGUGCAUAAUACCUUCCUUAAAUAAUUCAAGGGUUUAAUUUUAGUAAUUCACAAAUUGUAUAAUGUUCCAUUUGGGAAAUGGAUUUGAAAAUUUGGAUUUAGAUUUUAUUUUUAUGUGUAUGGUAAGAAAAAAUGUCUAUAUUAUGAAUAAAUUAGUUGAAAUUCAAUAAAAUAUAUAAUUAAAAAAAUAUAAAAAUAUAAAUUUGCUAAAUCCAAAAUUAUUCUAAAAUUUUCAAAUUCAUUCAUUUAAAAAAUAUAAUCAUUUUAAAAAAACCAUAUUAUAUUUCUAAAUAAUUAAAAGUUAACUUUUGAGUAUUUUUUUUUUUAAAUUAAUUUUGUGUACAAUCAUAUCAAUCUUUUGUAGCAAAGAAACUAAUGACUUGUAAUCUUGGUUUGUUGGAUUUCAUCAUUGAACUCUCUAGAUUUUAUUUCUUAAUAAAUUGACAUAACAACUACUCUAAUUUGUAUCUAAACUUAACAUGUGAAAAACUUUUCUUCAUAAUAAAUCACUCAUUCAGCAACCAAUUAUCAAUAAAUAAUUCUAAAUUAUUUGUUUCAUUUUUUAUAUAAUUUUGUUUUAUGCCAAACUAAAUAUAUUUUCCAGGCUAAAAAUAAAAGGUGAGAUUGAUUCAAUUUAAAAAUAAAAAAUAAAAUAAAGCGUAAGAUUUUUGAAAUUGAAUAAUUUUAUUAUAAAUUUUAAUAUAAUAAAUAUACUUAUAAUUACUCCUCAAUCCAUAAAUAGAUUUUUUUUUUGUGAUGGAAAAAAUAAUAAUGAAUUGUACAAUUUUCUUUAUAUGAAAAACUUUUGAAAAAUUUUUUUGUUUCUUCACAAAUUUCCUUUGUUUGUUUGGUAUUAAUUGACAAAGACAUUGAUGUAACCUAUAGGAUGAAUAGGUCCUCUAAUAUUGGAACAUACCCAAAUCUCUUCAAGAUAAUUAAAUUUUUAUAUAUUUGCAUCUUUUUUUCCUUCACUUUUACUAAGGUAGGCUGUAUUGAAAAUAGAACUCUUCCAAAAGGAUUAAAAUUCAUUAGGUCUAAUAUCAAAACAUUUUAUUAUUAUUUGUUAUUAGGACUAAUACCCCGUGAUGUGGGGUUUGAUUUUAAUAAUUACAAUAAAAAUAUUUAUAUUUAUUUUUUAAUUUAUUAAUUGAUGUACUUAUUUAAUAAUGUAUUAUUGCGUCUUGAUGUUAUAAUAUAUUUGAUAUAUAAUUGAUAAAUUUCAAUUAAUUUUUUAAAAGAUACAGUUAAAAUGUUUUAUUUCUGCUAUCGGAUAUAAUAUUAAAAUAACCAAAACUAAAAAUAUUUAUAUAUUUAAUAUUUUUUAAAUAACUCAACUCAAAUAAACAGUACACUUUCUAUAAAUUUUCAAAAAAAUUGAAAUGGUACAUUUGAUAUCAAGGAAAGCAAUUAAUUUAUCUCUAAAGUUAAUCAAAACUAUUAAGCUAUUACUUUUUAUUGGAAAUGGAUGUGCCGAUCGAGUCUUAACUCGAUUGGUAUGAACAUUAUUAUCAAUGCAGGAGAACAUAAGCUUAAGUGCACUAUAGUGCAUUAUCCUCCUAUUAAUGAGUUGGUGGGACUAUUUAAGUAAUUGGAGUAGUACAUAAAGAUGAUAAUUGGAGUAGCACAUUCGAAGCCAUUUGCUGGUGCUUGUGGAAGCAUCAGAAUAUUUUUUUUUUAAUAGAACUUACCUGAACGUUAAUGGUAUCAUAUACCAAGCUCGUCAUUUAUCUGGGAGGGCAAUGGAGGUGCAACAUCAUACGGGGGGUAUUGAUAGCAGAUUCAACCAAUAAUUCAGGAAAACUCGAUACAUGUUACCAGAGGUGGAUUGGUACAAAUAUGUUGAUUUGGGCCAUGCGUCAUCAAGGAUGAUAAUGGAAGAUGGGAUUUGCCCUUAAGAUUGGAAUAUGCUCAACCAUUGAAGAUGAGUUGUAGGAAGCUUAUGAUGGGCUACAACAAGCUUGGCAUAUGGGAGCAAGGAUGGUGAUUCUUGAAAUGGACAGCUUAGAGGCUAUUCAAAUGUUGUAGAAUAUGUCAGAUAUUCCUCAAUUUGCACUAGCUCGUGAUGUUAAGUGUUUGAUUCAAAACCAAUGGAAAGUUAAGCUACAUGUCUACAGGGAAGAUAAUAGAGUUUCAGAUAGGUUCCUACAAUUUCUUGCAACCAUUGGUCAGGUUUUGAAUCUUGUUUAUAAAUUGGAUAGGUUAGUAUGAUUUUGAUGUAAUCCUUUCUUUUUAUCUUUUUUUUUACCAAAAAUGUAACACCCCUAACCCCUUUUCCAUCAAUGGAUUAGGUUCAUGAGCAUUACUACUAAAUCAAUCAUAAUUAAAAUGCAAACUAUUUCAUUCAAAUCGAAGUUAAUCUAAGCAUACAAUCCUAAAUACGAGUUUACAAAUCCCUAAAAAUAAUUCCAAAACUAACGGAGGCUAAUUUGAAACAAUUCUAAAAGUCUAGGGUGAAAUCUCUAAAAGCCUAAAAACAAGGGACACAAGGCUGUGUGGCCAGGUCGUGUAGAAUACCUCAAGCCGUGUAACUUUCGAAAUAAGGACACACAGCCGUGUCCCAACCCGUGUAAUUCUCUGACUUGGGCCACACGGCCAUGUCCCAAGCCGUGUGUCAGCCCGUGUGUGACACUAUACUUAUGCAAUUAUUCCACACGUUCAGGGCACAUGCCUCUGUAUGUUACCCGUGUGUGACACACGGCCGUGUGACAGACCGUGUCUCAAGCCGUGUGCACCUAAAUGUACCGUCAAACUCAAGUUUACCAUUUCCUACUUGCUUGGGCAUUAAGCAAAUUAAAUACCAAUCAUUUAACCUAUGCAAAACACGAUUAAACACACUCAAAACAUGCUAAAACAACCAUCUUAGGUGCCUAACCAAUGUACCCUCAUUGGUACCACAUUUAUAUCUUCAAAACACAUUAACAAAACAUCAUCCAAAUCAAGAUUUCAUGCAUACCAAAUUCACCCAUAUUAACCUAAGAUAUAGCUACCUAAGAUAUCGAGCUUUAAGCUACACAAACAUUUCAAAGCCUUGUGUCAAACUAACAUAUCAAACAUAUGGCUUCAACUACAAAUAUAUACUUAUAUACAAUGACCAUCAUUAUACUUAAAACCCAAAUUUACAUCACACUCAGAAACCAACUAUCAACCAAAGACUUCCUAAUUACAUGCCAUAACAAAAAUAAAUAUCACCACACUUGAGCUCGGGAUUAUUGUUAGAUGCUGAGUCGGUAAUCAAAAGAGGGGUACCUAACCUGCGCACAAAAAAUCAAACCGCACGUUGAGUAAAACUCAAGGGUAUUUCUAUAAUCCGAACAUUUAAAGACAACAUAUGAUACAUGAAAUGCUAAAAUUAAAUUAUACAAUCAUGCUACUAUCUAAAUAUGCAAUUACAAGAUAUCACCAUUUCUAUUUUAUGCAUAUUACCACAUUAUUUCAUGUUAUGCUCAACUUUUACAAGUAUUCAUACAUAGUUGGUUUUUAACAUAUAUUUCAAUUCACAUCACUUGUUAUAUAAAUAACUUUUCAUAGAUCAUUUAACGACUCACUUAUAUAAUGGCAUAAUCCAACCUCAUUUUCAAUCCAUAAGUGGAUUACUCAUAUAUUUCAUUUAUGUUUACAACAUAAUUCACAUUUCAUUUUCCAUUCCACUUUUCAUUUCUAUAUCACAUACUUUUCCAUUUCAAUAUCAAUUACAUAAAUUUAUUAUUCAAUUACCUCUAUUAACUCGACCCGAACUCGGACAAAUGCACGGAUCCAACCAAUACACCAGUUUGGCACCCAGUGCCUCAUCGGAUAAAUUCGAAGUAAUAACUACGCCUAGUGCUAUAUAAAUUGACACUCGGUGUCUCAUCGGUUAAACCGAAGCAAAUUGGCACCUAGUGCCUCAUCGACUCGAGGUCGAAGAAAUCCCUAAACUCUUCCUAUUCUAUGGCAUGCCAUUUAUAUCCAACUUAGCCCGAAAUAGUUAAUAAGGUUCCAUUUCAUUUUCAAUUACAUCAAAUGUCCAAUUCUCGUAUAUGCACACAUAAACAUAUAUUCAAUUUGAUAUUCAUAUAUAAAUGCAUCAUAAUAUACCAAAUCAAUCCAUUUCAAUCAAACAUGAGUUCAAUUCAAUCUCAAAGUACCAAAGUAGUCACCUCAAAUGCUUACUGUAUGCAAUAAUUCAAAUGUAAUCAUUUAUAAUAUAGUUCGGAUUAUAGAAACACAAACCGUGGAUUCCGAGUUAUUUGACGUCGAUUUUAUCUUUUCCUUUUUUAUUCGAAGAUUCCGGUAUGACGGUAGCUAUGGAAUAAAACAAUUAAAAUACAUUAAUACACAAUUUGAUUCCACAUUGAAUAUUUCAAUUUUUACACAAUAUUUGCUUAAAAUUAAAUUUAGUCCCUAAACCAAGACUAAUUUUUAAUCUUCACAUUUAACUCUAUAUUUUUAUACUAAUUUCACUUUAAACUAAAUUUAGCUCCCUAUUUUUAGUUAUACCCUUAAAUUUCAAAUUUUUCAUAAUUUAGUCCUUAUUACUCAAAAUUUACAAUUGAUUCUACAAUUUAGUCCUUUUCCAUUUCUAACUUAAAAACCUAUCAAUUUAAUCCCUAAUACUUAAACUAUUCAAUAAUAACAACAUCUAAAAUCUUAAUCAAGACUAAAAUUUCAACAUGUGUCGGGUAGUUCUAAACACUGGGAUUCCAAAAAUAUAAAAUUUACAAGAAAAAUGACUAAAUUAACUAACCAAUUGAAGUUGAAAAACUAGAAACCCUAAUAUUUGCCGUCCAACACUUCUUUCUUUCUUUUAUUUUUGCAUGCAAUGUUUCCUUCCUUUCCACUUACUUUCUUAAUUCUUUUAUUUUACUUUAAUCUUUUUCUUUUCUUUUAUUAUAACACCAUUUUAUUAUAAUAUAACAUAUAUAUACACAUUUCAUAUUAUUUAUUAUUAUAACAUAUAUACAUAUAUAUAUAACAUACAUAUUAAUGCCGUCUACUAUACUUAGGUAAUUGUAUAAUUGCUACUUCAGUCCCUCAAUUAAUUUUAAUCUAUAAUUCAACUUUUAAUACCUAUGAGAUUUGAUCCCUACACCUAAACAACUUCCAAUUUAUGCAAAUUCACUUAACCAAAAUUUAAUUCACUUCUAAACUAACCUCAUAAAUAUUAAAUAAAAAUAUUUACGGGUUUGUUUUACAGAAACGGAGUUUCGAAUCUCACUAUCCGACACCUUGACUAUCGGAUCGUUACAAAAAAGAAUCUAAGUAGUUAUUUUAAUUAUUACUUAACUACUCAUUAGUUUAAAUAGUGUAACAUUAAAAAUUAAUUAAGAUGAUAAUAAUAGUAAAUUUUUAAAAAAAAAUUAUGAAAAUUCCUAAUUUAUUUUCAAAUUAUAUUUUACUAAAAAGCUUCAAAAGAAACAAAAAAAAUUGGACCACUCAAGCAUUCUAUUUCUAAAGGGAAUAAUAAAAGAACUUUCAAAAACAAAUCCAAUUGCAUUUUUUGGGUUGAGAGAACCAUACGAAUUGAGCGAAAUUAAAAAGGAUUCGAUAAUCAGUAAUAAGAUGAUUCACAAAUCAUCCAUUCAAAUUCAAUUUAUGGCGUGGACAAAUUAUUCAUGAACACAAAAAAAAUAAAAUAAAAGAUCUGACUAAGAGAAUAAACACAAUCAAAAAUCAAAUACAAAAAAUUCUAAUUAUAAAAGACAAGAAAAAUGAAUUUCUAACUCAAAAAAUAAAUAGUAGUUUUAACCAAAUAAGUUAUCAAGAGAAAGAAUUAAUAAAACAACUAAAAAUACAACUCAUUUUAUUUCAACUAUAAAAACCUCACCUUCUUAGAGUUAUAUAAAUGUUAUAAUUUAAUUAUUAUAAAAUUAAGACAAUUAAUACAAUAAUUUUAUUUUUAAAUAAUUUAAAAAAUAUAUAUUUUCAUAUCAAUUGUAAAUUAUAUUUGUUAAUAUUAGUUUAUACGUAUUAUGGAAUAAUUAAUCUAUAUUUAUUUAUAUAAAAAACACUGUUCGGCAAAAGAAAAAAACUUAAAAUUACUACGUGUUAAGAUAAAUACAAAAAAGGAAACCUAGAAAAGAAAUAUGUGGUAUGUAUUUAUAAAUAAUUUUUAUGAAAAUGAAAAAAAAAGAAAAAGAAAAGAAGACAUGCCAAAAUAUUGAAAAACAAAUUAAAACAUUUAUAAAUAAUUUUUCUCCUUUAUUUAAUCAUUACGAUACAAAUUUAUUAAAACAAUAUAAUAUCUAUUUUUUUAUACAAUACCUACAAUUACUCAUAAAACCUCAUCAACUCAUAAAUAAAAUGAUAAUGUAUUUCAGAAUACUUGAACCCACAUCCUCUUACAUGAGUAUUGUCGAGUUAAGACUCAAUUGACAUGUAAUAUAUGUAAUUGAAGUUGAAAGAGAUUCUAUAAAGGUACAAGCCAAAUACUCAAAUAGAAAAAAAAAAAGUAACAUAAAGUAAAUAAAAUAAAUUGUAAAUGAAAUUAUUUAAAAUUGUAAAAUUAAAUUUUAUAACAUAAGUUUCAAAAUGAAAUACGUACAUAACGUCAAAAGAAAUGAAUUAAAGAUUUUUGUGUCGAGGGAAAUUUUGAAGAUUUCAUAUUAAUCCAUUAAUUAGAAAGAAAAUAGUGACUAUUGAAUACUAAAACUAUCCUAUCAAUUCAAAUAAAAUACCAAAGGUAACCCCAUUGAUACUUUUAAAUAAUAAUAAGUGGGUUUUUUUUACCCUAAUUACUCUCUCUAAUAAUUGGUUUUAUAAUAGAUAUUAAUGAUAUAAUUUAUUAAAAACAAUUAAUUAGAGAAAAAAGAUUUUUUUGGAAAUUAAAUAAUAAUCAAACUAUAAAUAAUUAAAAUAAAAUCAUAAAAAUUCAAUUAACUUUUAUUUUUUCGAAAUACUUAAAUUACCUUUAUUAAAUCUUAAUAUAAAAUUGUCCCUAUUAAUUUUUUAUAAUAUCUACUUUACCCCUAUUAACUUUAAAUAAUACCUACUUUACGUUUAUUAACUCUUAAUAACUCCUUCGGAGCUGGUUUUGUUAUAUAAUGAGAAUAUCUCAAUUUUGGGAUUUUCUUCAUUCUUUUUUUUUUAAUUGGUUGAAACCUUUAAAUUUUAAGAUAGUUUUUGUCACAAAUUUGUUAGACAUAAGAGGUAGAAGAUUUUUCUUACCAAAUUCUACCAUAAAAAUGUGGUAUAAAAGUAUCAACAUGGCUAACUUUGGUAUUUUAUAUUGCUGUAAUGAACUUACAAAAGAAAGAUUUAGUUUAGAGGUUACCUCACCUUGAAGAUAAUAUAUCAUAUUGCAAAACUUGACAACUUGGCAGGCUAGCAAGGCUUCCUUUCAAAAAAGCAACUUGGAGAGCUAUUGAAAAGUUGAAAUUAAUCCACGCAGAUUUAGCUAGACCUCAAAAAACUUUGUCACUCAAAGGAAGUAAGUAUUACAUAGUUUUUAUUGAUGAUUAUACUAGGAUGUGAUGGAUUUAUUUCCUCAAAUUAAAGUCAGAGUUGCUAGCAUGUUCUAGAAAUUCAAACAAUGGGUUGAAACUCAAAGUGGUCGUAAGAUUCAAGCUUUAAGGUUUGAUAAUGGCAAGGAGUGCACACCUUAUCAAUUCAAAUUGAACACCAAGCCACUAUUCCAUAUACUCCACAACAUAAUGAAGUUAGUGAGAGGAAGAACCGUACCAUAAAGGAGAUGACUAGAUGUUUGUUGUUUAAGAAGUGCUUGCCAAAAGAGUAUUGGGCAGAAGUUGCACAUAUUAGUCUUUCUACUCAACAGGCUUCCGACAAAAGUAGUGGAAAGAAAGACACCGUUUGAAGUCCGAUAUGGUUAUAAACCUUCUUUAAAAAUUCUCAAGGUGUUUAGACGCUUGUGUUUUGUUUACGUGUCACAGAUCAAAAGAGAUAUACUGGACAAAAAGGCAGAAGCUGGAAUCUUUGUGAGUUACAACACAAUUUCUAAAGCUUAUAGAGUUUUCCAACCUCACACAAAGAAAAUUUUGAUAACUAGAGAUUUGCAUUUCAUGGAGGAUGAAUAAUGGAACUAGAAAGAAGUACGACUAACAUCAAUUCCAUAUCAAAGUAAAAAGCUCCAAUUGAAAGAAGAUGAACUUGUGGAUGAUGUAAAGACCUGAUAGUUACGGGUAUCAAAAAGUGUAUUUGUGAGUCUCUAUUUUCGUAAAACGAAUUUGUAAAUAUUUAUUAAAAAUAUUUACGAAGUCAGUUGUGUGUUUAAUUAAGUUUUGGUUAGAUGAAUUAGCUUGAAUUAAAAGUAAUUAGGUAAAAAGAUUAAAUUGCAUAUAAGGUAAAAUUUUAAUUAUAGACUAAAGAAAAGUAAAAGGACUAAAGAAGCAAUUAAUACUUAUCUAACAAGUGUAUGGUAAAAGUAAUAUCAUGUGUGCAAAUAAUAUACAUAUGUAUAUAAUAAUAUAUGUAUACUUAAACUUAUAUUAUAUUAUAUUAUAUUAGUAUAAUAAUUAAAGAAUAAAACAAAAUAAAUAAAAGAAAAAGAAACAAAGAAAUUGAAACGAAACAGAGGGAAAAAGAGAGAGAAGAAAGAGAGAAAGAAAGGAGAAAAGUUAGGGUUUUUUAUUGUUCAAAAUUUAAUUGGUAAGUUAAUUUAGUCUUUUUUUCUUGUAAUUUUUAUAUUUUUAGAAUUCGGUGUUAAAUAUUAUUUAACCUAUGUUGAAAUUUUAGAAAUUAUUAAAUUAUUAAAUGUUAUUCAUGUUGAAUAAUUUAAGUAUUUGGGAUUAAAUUGAUAGAAUUUUAAGUUAUAAAUGAAAAAUGGGUUGAAUUGUAAAAUAAAUUAUAAAUUUUGAGUAAUAAAGACUAAAUUGUGAAAAUUUUAAAAUCUAAAUAUUUAAGUAAAAUUAAAAAGUUGAAUUUAGUCUAAAGUAGAAAUUAAAUGAAAAUAUGAAAUUAAUUUUGAGGAAAUAAAGUUAAGUAUCAGUUUAGUAAACUUUUUUUCUAUAUAAACAUUAGUUUGUGGUCCAAUAAAACACACUUUUCAUGGACAAAAAUUAUUUCUACUUUAUUUUUGCCUUUAUUAUAUCUUUUGCGGUAAAAUUCUCAAAAACUCUAAUAAAAAAAAUAAUUUAUUUUGCAAUUCUACCACGUAAGCUGUUGAAAAUAUUUGUAUAAGGCAAACCGAUCCAACCAUCUCCCUAACCCAUUUUGCUUUUGUUAUAGGCCACCAAAUUCAAUCAACAUUUUCAUUCCUCAUGAAGCUUUUCAUGCCCUCCAGAAAGGAAAUUGGGGUUAUAAGGGAAGUAUUACAAUGAAGGGCAAAAACAUAUGACAAGGUUGAUUGGACCUUUAUGAAGAAAUUGCUCGAGGAAAUGGGAUUUGUUGAAUUGUGAAGGAAAAUUAAUAGUUAUUUCAAAUAUAGGACUUCAACAAAGCGACCCAUUUCACCCUAUCUCUUCAUCAUUGAGAAGGUAGUGAAUGAAUGAUACCUUGAAGGUUCCAAAAUUAACCUAACAUGUCCUUUCAUUUAAAAAUUUAAAUAAUAAUAUUAAUUGAAUAUUAAUUUAAUUAAUAUUAUUAUCAAUAUAAAAAAAAUUAUAUAUUCAAAUAUACUAAAACGUUUUAUUCUCGUACAUAUAAGAGAGAAACUAUGAGUAAAAAGUUAUACAUCUAAAAAUUGAAAACUUGAAGAAAAAAAUUGUUGAAUUUUGGCUUUUAUUUUACGGAUAAGAAAAGAAAGCGUAAAAGACAAAAAUACCCCAUGUGGAAGACCAGACUUCUAGAUCUAUGUAUGACCCUGGGAUUCCCAAUUGAUAUAAAUGAUGUGGUGGGGUCCCCCAUGUGGAGGUUGGGGAAAUGACGUCCUUGUCCAUACUCUCCUCCCCCAUUUACGCAUCUACACGGUUCUACAUUUGCCAUUUGGUAGCCUUGCUUUUGUGCUACACUAUUCACUCUUUUGCCAAAUUUAUUUGUACAAAGUAAAAGAAGAAAAAAAUUCAAUGCAUUUUAACCCAAAGUGAAUUUGAUUGCAAAAUAUAUUUAUUGUAUUUAACUUUAAUUUUAAUAUUUAAUUUGGUAUUAAUAUUAAUAUUAAUAAAUUAUUCGAUAACUUUGAUUUUGUAAAUAAUAUUGGUAUGUCCAACAAAUUUGACUUCUAGUUUCUCUUCUUCUUUUACCUACGAAUAAUUAAUAAAUAAGUUGGGUUAAUCUUGUUUAGAAAAAGUUAAUUCUUUAAUUAGAUGAACUAUGUAACUAAACAUAUUCCCACUAUGAGGACACUGCAUACUUAUAGGCACCUCUAAUUUUAUAAAAAAAGAAAAAAAGAAAAAAAUUAUUAAUUUUUUGUCUUUUUAAUCAUUUGACUUAUAUUAUUUAUUAAAUUAAUAAAUUAAUGAUUUUUUAAAAAAAUCAUUAAAAAUUUAAAAAAAAAACUAAUAUUAUAAAAAGGUACAUCACAUGAAACGACAGAAUAAUUUACCCAAUGUACUAUAAAGCUGUAAAAUAAUCUAGGCAUUUCCAAGACAAAACAUUGUGAGGCAUAGCAAUAAUUGAUUAGCAGCUUCACAUUGAAAUCUUGUUGAAGAUUGAUAAGUUGUGUGGUAGAUAUAAAAAAAGGGUUGAUGAUAGCAUAUCACUUCAAAAUAAGUCAAAAUCUCACAUGGUUUCACAACAAAACUAUGAACAUAAUAGUUUAUAAUAAUUCUUUUAAUCUCAUUUAUGAAACAUGAUAAACAGAUCCAAAUCCAUUUGGAUUCAACUUUUAAAAGUAGAUUUAGAUCUCAUCCAAAUUGUAAGUUUAUGAAAUUGAUGAUGUAGCCACAUGAUUAAUACUACUUUAUUUUUCUAAUGGGCUGAUUUUGGUGUUUUUUUAAGGAGGGGUUGUUAAUCAUGGAAAACUUUUUUAAUUCUGAAAUCCACUCUAAAAUUUCACUAAUAAGUAGUUUAUAAUAAUGAAAGGAAUAGACGAACUAAAUAUUAUUAUUACUAUCAAUUUCAUAAUAUAAUAAUUGAAACAACCAAAACUCACUUCUUAAAUAAUAAUUAAUCAUAAACAAUAUGUUUUGGAACUUUUGGCAACUACUUUACCCACCACCUUCAUUAUGACUCAUCUUCAACCUCAAUCAAUUUUUUAUUUUAUGUAUAUAUAUAUAUUUAAACUGUUUAAAUUCAAAGUAUAAAAUAUUAUAAAUGUUUAUGUCCAAAAAAAAAAAUUAUCCUUUCAAUUUUAUGCAUUCUAUCAAUUUAAUUUUAAUUCUAAUUUGACAGAAUUAAGUUGUUAAUUUGAAAUUUUUAAGAAUCAAGAUUAAAUUGAUAGCAUGUCUAAAGUUGAGGGUUAAAUUCUUUUUUUUUAAAAAAAAUUAAAACUAAAUUGAUAGUUGAAAGGUUAAAUUUGUUAAUAUGUCAAAAAAAAAAAAAGAUUAUGUCAACAUUCCAUUAAUGACUGGCCAAGAUAUUAAAUGUCCAUAACAUUAGAAUUUUUUUAACUUGAAUGAUUAAAACAAAAAUACGUUAAUAAUUGAGUGACUAAUUCUUUUAUCUACCUUUUAAUAUUAUUCAAGGAGUCACAUAAACAAUUAACGUUUUCUACCCAUUAAUAUCAACAAGUACGUAAUGUGGAGAAAACAGAGCUUUGAGCAAUUUAUGACGGUUUUAUUAUGGCAUAAGAUGCUAAAUGGAGAUAUGUUGCUAAAACGGGUUGUGUACUUGCUAUUAAAGGGAACAAUGGCGAUUCAAGAGGGUAUUUACAUAGAGAUUUGGUUCUAAGAAUUCAGGAGUUAUGUAGUCGAGAUUGGAACGUUAUCUUUGAGCAGAUCUUAAGUUAGAUAAAUUUUACCGCUCACUUGUUAGCUGAAAUGAUGAAAGAUUUCCCAGUUAGCGCCUAAAUAUUCCAUAGGGAUCCCUCUUUAAUCCGUCACUAGUUAAAGAUAGAUAAUAUGUCCGUACUUUCAACUCCCUCUAGAUCCUAUUAGUUUAGUAAUCCAUUUUCUUGUUAAAAACAAAAAUAACUUUUCUACCCAUUUGUUUAGAAAUUUUGAAAUUGAAAUGAAUGAACAAAGUUUACAACAUAAGAAACGUAAACGACUUGUUGAUUAUAAAAUUCAAUAUAUGACAACUGGUAUGAAUCUAUUAUCAAAAAGUUGGAAGCAAAUUGAAUUACUCCACUAUAAAGUAUAAAACCGCAUUAAUGAACAAAAACCAAAUGUGUUAAAAUAUUUGGAUGGAAUUGGAAUAUUCCAAGAAUAUGAAAGCAAAACUUUGACUAUAUAUAUUAUAAGGGUAAGUUAUACUAUUAAUCACUAAACUAUUAGUAAAUUUAUGUUUUAGUCGUUUAGCUUUAAAAAGUUACAAAAUGGUCAUUAAACUAUUCUCAAGUUUUCAUUUAAGUCACUGAAAUAUUUGAAUUUUUUUAUUUAAGUUACGGGACUGUUAAUUUUUGGGUAAACUACACCAUUAGCCACUAAACAAUGGGUAAGUUUUCGUUUUAGUCACUUAACUAAAAAAGUUACAAAUUGGUCACUGAACUAUUCAAAAGUUUUCAUGUAAGUCAUCGAACUAUUCAAAAGUUUUUAUUUAAGCUACUAGACUAUUAAGUUUUUUUUUUUAAGUUCCACCAGCGAGCUCCAAGCAACAAUUUAACAAUGGGUAUGGUGGAUCAGUACCCAUUGAUGAGUAGAAGAACAUAUCUUAUAUUCAAGCCGAUCUGAUAGUCAGUGAAAGAGAAAGAAGAAAAAUUUAUUUGAAUUUUGGUUCACAAAUUUGUGAUGUCCAAAGCUAUUUCAUAAAAAAAAAUGAACUGUAGAAUGGAAAGGGAAAAAGAGUUUUCGAUUAGUGUGAAUAGAUAAAGGCAUAUAGCAUCAAUUUUAACAACCCUAGUGGCUUAAAUGAAAACUUUUGAAUAGUUCAGUGACCAAAUUGUAACUUUUUUAGUUUAGUGAUUAGAAUGAAAACUUACCCAUAGUUUAGUGACUAAAGGUGUAGUUUAUCUUAAAAUUUUUAAAGAAAAAGUUCAGCUAGCGAGCUCCAAGCAACUAUUCGAUGAUCGAUAUAAUGGAUGUAACACCCAACACUCGACUCGAUCGUCGGAUUCAAAUGCAUGAUGUCACAUUACGUUGCCGGAACAACUCAGGCUAAUUCAUUUACUUAAAUAUAAAAUUUAAAUCAUAAUUAAUUAUCAUUCAAACCAAUUUAAAUCAUCAAUUAUUCUCACACAUAUGCAUUCAUAGUAUUUAGGAUUCAAUUAAUCAUGUUUUAAGGUUAUGCAAGGUUAAAGUUAGAGUUAGAACUCGAAUCUAAACUCAACUAUCAAGUUUCAAUGUUGUGUCUCAAGACAAAUGACUUAUUGUCUUGAGACUAGCCUCAUUUUAUUUUGGAUAUUUUAGUUUCAAUGUCAACAUAUCUCGAGACACUAGAAGUAGUUUCUCAAAGCAAGGUUCUUUAUGUCUUGAGACCAAUCUCCCUUAUUUCCUUAAUUUCGCUUCGGUGUUGGAAUGUCUCAAGACCUGGAACAGGGCAAAACUAAUUUAGCUUCAAAGUUUACUUGUCUCUAGACAAAGGCCACUUAUCUCGAGACUAGUUUGCUAAGUCUCGAGACACUAAGCAUGUAGGUUAUAAUAUAAGGUAAAUUUUGUUCUCGUGAUCUCGAGACAUGAUCAUGUUGUCUCGAGACUCAAUGGCAAAAUGACCCUAAAUACAAAUUUUCAAGCAUCCAAACUAUACCAAAUGACACCUUAAGUAUACAUAAACUUUACAUCAUAGUAAAACCAUCAAUCUAGCACAUAUAAACACAAUCAAACGUCAUCAAAUCAUAACCAUCAAUGUAUCAUUAUUUAACUAACUAUUUCUCAAAAUCAAACUUGUAUAAACUAGAAUAAUUAUCCACUAAUUAAAUGUUAAAGUUCAUUUUAUAAAACCUUAUAUGCCAAAUACCAAAUAUACCAAAAUAACCACUUAAACAACAUGCUCAAAACAACCUAGGUACAUAUCAUUUCGACUCAAACACAUAUAUACAUACAAAAGAGGUAGCAAAAUGAUUCCCAAGCUAAGUUGUUGAGAAUGGAUGCUUUGACAUUUUCAACCUAUGAAAAUCUUUGUUUGAAACCUGCAUAUGAAAAUAACAAACUAUACGCUAAGUAUUUUAAACUCACUAGUGCUAAUAUAAUUCAAAUACAUUUCAUUACGAAUAAAAUAAAGUAAAUAUAUACAUAUAAUAUGUAUCAAUCACAUUCCAAUAUCAAUUUCUAUAAUUAUUCAUUUUGGCCCCUAUUAUCCUUUAACGAUAGACAUUAAAACGAAUACUCGGAUCUAUAUAUAUCGAGUAAGUCCACACCCUCUAGAAACUAAGACUAUUUUAUUUUGUCAUCUCGGGUUGCUCAACAAUGAUAACUUUAAGUAUUUUUUUAUUUUACCACCUCGGGUUGCUCGACAACGAUAGCUAAGAAAUCACUAUAUCGGUAACCCGAUGACAUGCUAGCUAUACUCGAACCCCGUCUAAUAUCAUUUAAUGUGGCACUAACAUCAUAAUCACCAUUUUAACAUAUAUCAUUGUAAUAUCAAUGACCAAAUUUUUAUAUUUACAUCCAAAACAAAUUUGAACAUUUAUCACAUAAUUCAAGUAUCAUCAACUCCAUUACUCAAAGUUUUUAGAGGAAAGAUACCAUUAUCUCUAUGCAUAGUCACACUGAUUAUAAUGACUAAUUAAUUUACGAAAAUAAAUUGAAAUUGAAUUAUAGAAGUAUGAACCAGAAGUGACUAUUCGUUAAUGACUUUAUCUUUUCUUUUUUCGCAAGACAAUCCUACGUCAUCUUUAGCUAUAAAAGUUCGUUAUUUAUACAAUUCAAAUAAUUUACAAUAAUUUAAACAUGAAUGCAUUUAUUACAAUUUAUUAAAUUAUUUUAUAGCUCUUAACUUAAUUUAUAACUAGGUCUCUCUUCUUUUUUAAAUUAAAAAUUCAAUAGCAAUUCUAUUUUUAUAAUUUAAUCCCUAACUAUAGUUAUUAAUCAAUUCAUGCUAAUUCUACUAAAUAAUUUAAUCUAUCACUAUCGCAGAUGAUAUGUAAAUAUUUACUUUUCAAUCGGGUUUUUUUAACACCAUUGAAAAUUGAAUCGUUACAAUGGAUUAGUACUCAUCGACAAGUAGAAGAAUAUACCUUAGAACCAUGUCGAUCUGACUAUUAGUGUUAAAGAUCGAAGAAGAAAAUUGUUUAGAUUUUGGUUUAUAGAUUCGUGACAUUCAAAGUUGUUUCAUAAAAAAACUAAAUAGUAGAAAAGAAGGGUAAUAAGAGCUUUCGAUUGACAUAUGACGACGACUUUAACAACCCAGUGUCCUAAAUAAAAACUUAAGAAUAAUUCAAUGAUUAUUUUGUAACUUUUUAAAAUUAAAUGACUAAAAUAUAAAACUUACAUAAUAAUAUAAUGAGCUUAGAUACAAUUUACCCUAAACUCAAUAAUGAACAAAAACACAAAAAGUCGACAAGACAAGACAAGUAACAAGUGAGGAGUGACAAGCACACAUGAAAAUCCAGUGAUAAUUGAGCUGUCAUGAUCCGUACGUUUCACCAUGUGACAUAUAAGUACACAUAUGUAACAACGACAAAUACGAUAAGACCUAACCCUUUUUUUCGAAAUAAAAAUGAUAGGAAAGAAAGAAAAAGACAUAGCAUAUUAUUAGAUUUUUAUAUAGUUUUAAAUUAGAUACAAUUUGUAUAGAAAGUAAUAUAUUUGAUAAAAUUAGAGAUUAUGAAAUGUGAACAUACCCUUUAUUUUUUCAUACAAUGUUUGGAUUAUACGGUUUUUUGUACUUUGUAUUUGGUGAGAAAAUUCAACAUUUUCUGCGGAGAUUAUGGCAAAAUUGAUAGAAACCUUAUACCCACUUUCUCUUUUAUUUUAUAUAUAUAUAUAUAUAUUAUUCCCUUUAUGUAUCAUGGGGAAUCUCAACGACCAUACAUGAAUAUAUAUAUUUUUUGAAUAAUUUAAUUUUUUUUCUUCUCAUUUAGUUUUAGUAAAUGAAAAACAUUGAAAAAUUAUAUUAAAAAAAUGGAGAAGGGAUGAUAAAAUAAGGAGAAGCAGAAGAAAGUGAAAAAAAAUGAAAAAAAAUUAAAAGAAUAUAAAAAAAAUUUAAAUUGUUCAAAAUGAAAAAUAUGUGGACUAAUUGUAUAAUUUAACCUAAAUUUUUUAUUUAAAAUGAUGAUUUAACAUGUCUCGUCACAUUAGCUUACCGUUACACCAUUAACAACAAUUAACGUCUCAGUGAUUAAAAUGUUACAACAUAUUUAUGUAAAUUGACGAAAUGUAAUAUUUUAAACAUAAAUGAUUAAAAUUUAACCAGAGGUAAACAAAAAUGACUAUUUUAAUAAUUUACUCUAAAAAUUACAAUUAUAAUUAAUAUGUAUCAAAUAUGCAGUCCCUCCUAUGAAUUAGGGGUGCUUGAAUAACUAUAACCGUACCAACCAUUAUAAAUUAUAAUUAAUUGAAAUGAAAUUAGAUAUAAAAUUGAAUAUCAUCAGCAGAAAAUAAAAUUUAAACUAAAAUUUUAUAUAAUUUAUACGAAUAAACUCGAAUUUAAAAUUUCUAAAUUUUAAAAGUUUUAAUUUUGUCAUUAAAUUAAUUUACUUUUUAUGAUGAUUUUGUUAUAAGCAUAAUCACUGAUUUAACAUGUGAGAGUGCUCAAAAAUAAAGUGAGCAAGUAAUUAUAGUAAUUAAUAUUUACCGAUUGAGUUUUAAUUUGAUUGGUAUGAAUAUUAUUAUUAAUAUAAAAUGAUAUAAGUUUGAGCGCGUUGAAACAUAUUAUUUUCUUUUAUAUAUUAAAUUGUGGCACAUGUGAUCGCUGUAUUUUGUGUGAAUUUUAUGUUUUCAAAUGGAAUCUCGAAUUUUCUUCAUAAGUUAAUUUUUUUUUCUUCAUUUACUUUUAUGGGUAUUUGGCAAAGCCCGAUUGGUACUGAUGAUGGGCUAAAAUUAUUUACCGAAUACUAGUUUAACUUGUGGGGUUUUUAUGUACUUAAUUUUUUAAAAUUAUCUUUGAUUGUGUUUGUAUCAAUUAUUAAUCAGGUUUUAAUUUAGUUGUAAAAUAAAAAUUAUUAUUUUAUAAAAUAAAAUAUAUUAUUUUGAAUUUAUUUUUAUCAUUUUUAUCUUUUACAUAAAAAUAACAAUAUAUAUACAUAAUAAAAUUUGAAUCCAUACCUUUAUAAUUUUCAACAAAAUUAUUUUUCAGUUUAACCAAAGUUUAAUUUAUUAUUUGUAUAAUUUUUUAUGAAUAUAUUUGUUCCAUAAUAUUAUUUUUUUACUCAUAAGUAUGCUAUAAUAAUUAUUAUUCAAUUUGUAAUUUGUAUGUCUUUUGUUUGUAUGAAUAUACUCUCAACAAAUGAGCAUGAUCAUCUUGUUUUGUACUCCAUGCUUAGCAACUAGAAAUCUUACAAUUUAUUAUAAAAAUAUUGUAUUUAAAAAAAUAUUUAGAAAAAUAUAAUAAUUUUUAUUUAUUUAAAAAAAUAUAAUAUUUUUUUCUCUCUAAAAAAGUGAUCCCAUCAUGUCAAACGAUGGGUUCACUAUACAUGUGACAUGUACCACACUUUAUAUGGUUUUUUUAAUACAAAUGGUCAAAUUUUCAUGUGUCAACUUCUUGGCCAGAUAUUAUUACUUUUAAAGUUUAAAGUGUGACAUGUGUCACAUGUAUAAUGAACUUACUAUCGAGCAUAACGAAAUCACUUUUUGAUGAGAAAAAUUUAGCAUAUUUUUUCAAAUAAUUAAAACUCACCUUAUUAUUCUAAAUAUAUUUUUAUAAUACAAUAUUUUUAUAAACUACUCAAAAUCUUAAAAUGUUAUUGCACUUAAAAUUUCGGUUGUCUGAUUCUAUCAUGAAGAAAAGUGUCUUAGAAUCUAGUUACUUUACGUUUGGCUAUAGUCCAUAUGCAUUUGAUUGUUGUUUGACUAUUGAUUCAUCUGCGUUGUUUAUGUAAACUUUUAUGUGUUUAGAUUUUUUUAUCGUAAUUAAGGUAUUCACCAUUAGUAAUAGUUAUUAAAGAAGUGAACGGUUGUUUAUGAAAUGAAUUUUAUUAUCAUGAGUGGAGAUCAAACACCUGACCAUAUGACUAAAGAAUUAGGUGAGUAACCGUGACAAGUUGUUUGUCAUGUUAUGUUGCAAAUUGUUUUGCUUUACCUGCUUUGGUCUUUGUUUGGCAUGGAUAUGCAUAAAAAUUGAAGUCUUCAAACUUGAUUAUGGCAUAAAAGUAGGAACUUUAUAUGAAAUUCAUGCAUGGAUUAAAAAUGGAUACUCUAAAAGCAUGACAAAUGUUGUUAAGUAUGAAAAUGAGUUUACUUGUAAAGGCUAAAGGUUUUAAAUUAAGCAUGAAAAAUGUUUAUACACUAUGAUGAACACGAGAUUUCCAUGCAAGGUAUUUGAGUUUAAUUUCUUUAUUUCAUUAAUUUAGUUAGUGGGUAUUUUGUGGAUUGAUUAAUCUAUGUAUUUUAUCAACUUAGUUGCUCUCUUCAACACGUGUGUAUCUCUGUAUGAAUAUGUGCAUGAGUAUGUAUAAUUAUGGUUAUGUGGUGUGUUUGUUGGACAUAAUUAUAUGUAUGUGUUUUGAAUUUGUAUUAUGUUUUUAUGUGUGCUUUAGAUUAUGUCCUAUGCCAAUAUAUAUCGCGUAUGUGUGUGAGGGGAAAUUAUAUUAUGGAUUUUUUUAUUAUAUUAUUUAUGGAUUAUUUUUAAUUAUUUAAUGAUAUUUCAGUAAAUUUUUUUCUAUGUUAUUAAUAUAUAACUUUGGAAAUUUUUUUUACCCUUAACCUUAAACCUUAAACCUUAAACUUCGAACUCUGAAUCCUAAAUCAUGAACUUGAACCCUAAACUUUGAACCUGAACUCUAAACCUUAAAUUUUAAACUCUAAACUUGAAUCUCAAACUUAGAAACCCUAAACCACAAAUCGAAUCAAGUUUGAGUUCAGGAUUCUGGUUUUGAGAUUCGGGAUUCAGGGUAAAAAAAUUACCAAAAUUAUGAGUCAAUGACAUGAAAAAAAUUAUUGAAAUGUCAUUAAAUAAUUGAAAAAAUUAUAAAUAAUAUGAUAAGAAUAGUCCAUUAAAUAAUUUCUGAUGUGAGGGUGCUUAAAAUUUAUGUGUUAUGUUGUGAUAAUGUUGUAAUUUAAAUUUGUAGUUUUUUUUCAUAUUUUAGUUUAAUUUCAUAUUACCAUUGAUAUUAGUUUAUUUAAUUAUAUUAUUGCUUUCAUGCAUGUUCAUUAAAGGGUUUUAAGUAAUUUUAAAAAAUAAAGCAACAUUUUAGCAUUAGGGAGAUUGUUGAGAUCAUUGCCUAAUAAUAAUAAUAAUAAUAAUAAUAAUUGUGUUUAGAAUCUUUUGCGCUUUAAAAUUAAAUUCACUCGAUUAAUAAAAUUUGUGUUCAUAUUUUAAUUUUAUGAGAUCAUAAUUAAAAGAAAUUUAAUAAUUUGUUUUUAAAAAGAAAAUUUAUAAGUGAUCAAUUACACUUAGCCAUUGUUAAUAAAAAAUGUUGUUUUAAAAAGUAAAAAUUUUCAUAUAUGCUCAUGUUAAUCAAAUUAAUUUUCAUUUAAAAAUAAUUUUAAUGUCAUAAAAAAUGUAUUUUAAAAAAUUAUGCAAAAAAUUAAUAUGAUUUUUAGUCGAAAAAGUAAAAUUAAAAUUUUGGGAUUUUGAAGUAUUCAAUAUUCAAAAUAUACAAUUUAUUUAGAUUUUUAAUUUGUUAAGUUUGAUUAAAUUGAAGGUUUUAUCUAUUUCCUAUUGACUUUUUCUACUAAACAUUAUAUUGGACCUUUAAUAGAUUUUGCAAUGAAAUUAAAUUGCGAGAUUUCGUUAUUAUUGGAGAUAUAUAUAUUGGUAAUAUUUAAGAAGUGACUAAUAUCCUAGAAAUCCUUAAACUAAUAUACAUUAUUCAAUUAAGUCUUUCAAAGCCUUUAUUGAUAAAAGUCCUGAUUUUAUUUAAGAGUAUCUUUUGAAACAUGAAAGUGUCUAUAUUAUAUUUAAGUAUUUGUAUUGUUUUGAUAACUCAAAAAUAAUUUUAAUCACAUUAUUAAGAAUUAAUUAUAUUUUUAUUGCCAAUAAAUUUGUGAAAUGUCUCGAACUAAAAUAAUAAUAAUAAUAAUAAUAAUAAUAAUAAUCUUGAUGUGUUGGUCCAAAUCACAAAAAGAAAAGAAAAGAAAAGAAAAAAAAACUAUUUUCCUGAUUAUUAUUUAAAUUCAACAUACCAAUUUUACCCGGCAAUAGACCUAUUUAUCCCUAUCUAUUUAAAGGAAUAAAAGUAUAAAGGUUUUAUUUUUUUUAUUAUUAGAGUUUUCGACUAAAUUAAUAUUAUAUGUUAACUGAAUGUAACUCAAUUGAGAGACAAUAAAAAUAUAUUUAUAAACAAAUUUAACAUUCAUAUAAAAUAGAGUCAGUGGCAGAAAAUUUAUUUUUGGAGAAUCGAAAUUAAAUUAUAUAUUUUUACGAUAGUAAAAAUAUAAUUUCAUCAUUUUAAUAAUUUAUAUCUUUGUAAUUUUUUAAGAAUUAAAUCAAUUUUUUUUAUUUUUUUAGGUCAAAGUGAAAUUUACCAUUAUUAAUUUAAAAUUUUAUAAAUUAUAAAAAGCCUAAAUGGAAAAGUUUCCAUUUUAGGGGGACCGACCCCCUGGCUCUAGGGGUGUUUAAACUUCAAUUAAAACUGAAUCAACUGACCAAACUGAUCUAAUUUGGUUAAUCAAUCGGUUAACCGAUCUAGUUCGGUCGGAAGUCGGUUAAAGGUUUUUUGGAAUUUAGGUUAAUGGUUAAUUUGGUUCAAAAUUGGGUAAUUAACCGAAUUAACUGAAUUAACCGAACUUAAUAAAUAAUAUUAUAUAUUAUAUGUAUUAAGCUAUUACUAGUCUGAUUAAUUCGAUUAAUUUGGUCAAAUGAACAUUAUAAAAUUUUUUUGAUAUGUUUUAUACUUGUUUUAACAAAAAAAAAAGUGAAACAUAUUGAUUCAGUUAACUGAUCGAUUAACCCAUUGAACACCCUGCCUGAUUCCACGACUGAAUAAGGAGUAUAAAUAUCAUUAAAAAAAUUUAAAUAUUUUUGUUAAUUAAAAUAUAAUUAUUUUAUUUAUAAAAAACCACCCACUUCAUAUAAACAAAUCUCUUUAACCUAAAAUUUUAUGAGAAAAGAAACUAAGAUUGGGCCCAAACAUAUGUCUCUCCAUGAACCUUGAUUUAGUACAUGUUUUGAACAAAGCUUAAAAAAAGCCCAACAAUGGUUCUCCAAAACUCGAUGGCCUUUUUAUUAUCCUUUCAAAACUAGAGGCCCAUGUUUUAUUAUUGGACUAUUUAUUACGUCAUUAUAACCCAAAACCAACGGGACUAAAGACCACAGGGACACAGCAAAUGGAUGAUGUCGUUUCUACUGUCAAGUCAUACUUUUUUAUUUCAUUUCCUUGGACUUCUCAAAGUUACCCAACGUUUUAGUUAGCUUGUUCAAAGGUGUCAUUCAGGGGAGGUGGCUUCCAUCUAAUUUAAUCUGAUUUAUUAUUUAACAAUAAAUUAUUAAUUAAAUUUUAGAUACAUACAUAAAUGUUGGGUUUUUUUUUUACAUAAUUUAAUAUUUUUUAAAUAGUUAAAUUGUUGACAGAAAAUUGAUUCAUUCUCUGAGUCUGAUAGUCGGAAAAAUAGGAGAAUGGGAGUUUAGUAUGUUAGGAUUUUGAUAGGGGAGAAGACUCUUCAUUCUAUGUUGUAUUUUGGAGGUAUUUUAGUGACUUCUAGAUAGUCCUCUCUCAAGGAGAAUGCACCUAUUAAUAGGGGGUAACCUAAUAGAAGGUUUAACUAGAUAGUAAAGGAUGAAUGGUACUCUCUCCCUCCUUUUCAAUUAGUGACAUGAGGCAUGCGAGUAGUUGAUUACUGAGUGAUCAUUAUGACUAUUUAAGGUGGAGGGUCAUUCACAGUUGCCUCUUUGUCUGCUUCUCAUGAUGUUACGUGUCCCAAUCAAGGUAGAAGUAUAAUAAUUUUCUUCUUAAUUGAGAUGUAGGUUAUAAAGUGACAUGGCUCGAGACCGUCUGUAGAUUGUUUUUGUGAGUGGUAGCUAUUGAAGAUAAAGUAUCAGGUGCCAGCUUGGAACGGUUCACCCUUACAAGGCGAAGAGCAAAUGACCUAAUUUUAAUUUGAUUUUUGAAUUAAAUAAUUUGAAAUUUAAUGAUAGUUAAAAUAAUAUAUUUUUCUAAAUCCAUCUACUUAAAUAUCCAAGUAUGAUCAUUAAGAUUUCAAAAUUAGAUUAAUGAUUAAAUUGAUUAUACUAUAUUCUUUAGUUUAAUCGGUGUGACUAAUUCAAUUAAAUAAAUUAUUAAAGAUAAAAGAAACAUGAUAGAUACAUAAAUGAGUACCCACUAUGAGUAAAAAUAAAAGGAAAAGAGAUAAGGUUUAUUGUUUUUUCCACAGAAUUAAACCAAUGAAAAAAAAGUGAAAUACAGUGUGCCAUCAAUGAUUAAUCCACAGAUCACCAUAAAUAAAUACAUUUCUUUUUCCUAGCUGCAACAUAUGGUUUUACUAAGUCUUCCCUUGCCAAACCAUGUCCUACUUUUCCCAAUAUUUUAACAUUUUAAUACAUUAAAUCUUGAAAUUCAUUGAAAAAUGCAAGAAUUAAGACACAAACAGAAUGAAGGAAGGAACACAGUUUGAGCUCAUCCACUUAAGGUGUUAUUUUGCUUCUGGAAAAUCAACAAAAAAAUUUCUCAAUAAUAGAAGUUUAACAUCAACUACUAGUCAAAUUAGAUAGAAAAGGACAAAAGAAGCCCUCAAUGAUAGCAGCUAGGAAAAGAAAGCAGCAGUUUUCCACAUUCAGACAAAAUAUAAUAAUUUUGUCAGUAAAACAACUAAAACUAGAGAAAUUUCAGAACAAGAUAAGAAUACAUUGGGGUCCGAGAAUCCUUAUCCAUCACCAGUUUAACUUUUACUACUUCCAUUUAAUGUUCCCCACAAAGUGAUGAGAAUUCACACUAUAAAUUGUUAUUCAACCCUUCAAACUCCCAUCUCUACUUCCAUUUCAUCUGCCAUCAAUUUGCUUUGAAGAUCAUGUUGGCUAUUUUUCACAAGGCAUUUGCUAAUCCACCAGAGGAGCUGAAUAGUCCAGCUUCUCAUAAAUCUACUAAGAAGCCUAAACAGCCUGAAGAAACCCUAAAUGAUUUCCUAUCUCAUCACCCUCACAACACUUUCUCCAUGAGCUUUGGCAACGCCGCUGUUUUGGCUUAUGUCCGCCAUGAACGUGCUGCUUCAGUUCAUCAGAGGUAAAGUUUUGUAUGGAAAAUUAAUUGCUGGUAUUAUUAUGAAAGAAAAGAUAUCAAUAGUUUACAGUUUUGUUUGCAGGUUGUUUUGUGGGUUUGAUGACAUAUACUGCCUCUUCUUAGGGAGCUUGAACAAUCUAUUUAUGCUGAAUAGACAGUAUGGUCUUUCCAAAGGGAGCAAUGAGGCGAUGUUUGUGAUUGAAGCAUAUAGGACACUAAGGGAUAGGGGUCCAUACCCUGCUGAUCAGGUUGUUAAGGAUCUUGAAGGAAGCUUUGCCUUUGUGAUCUAUGACAGCAAGACUGGAACCGUGUUUGCUGCACUGGGGUCUGAUGGUGGAGUGAAGCUGUAUUGGGGAAUUGCAGCUGAUGGCUCUGUGGUCAUAUCUGAUGAUUUAGAUGUCAUUAAAGAAGGGUGUGCCAAAUCCUUUGCUCCUUUCCCAACUGGUACUUCACAGGCUCUUUUUUUUUUUUAAUUUCUGUUUUGGUUGAAUUUAGUUAACCUAAGAAAGGAUUGAUUGGGGAUGUUUGUGUGGGUUGCAGGAUUCAUGUUCCACAGUGAAGGGGGGCUGAUGAGCUUUGAGCAUCCAAUGAACAAAAUCAGGGCAAUGCCGAGGGUAGACAGUGAAGGAGUGAUUUGUGGUGCUAAUUUCAAGGUUGAUGUUUACAGUAGAGUUAAUAGCAUUCCACGAGUGGGCAGUGCAACCAAUUGGACUGAUCACUGGGAUUCCCAUUAAUUAGUAUUUAAAAAGAGGAGAGAGAAGCAAAAUUAAACAUAAGAGAGAUGCCAUGAAUAUGCUCUAGACAAACACUGGGGUUUCUUCUGUUUUUCAUCCUAGUUGUUGGUUUUUCUUUUGGUACUUUUCUAUGUUAUAUGUUGGUUGUGUUGGUUUAAUUUCUUUGGGCUAUUAUAGUUUCAAUCUUAAUUCCAAUUUAGAAAUGUUGUACCCAAUAUCCAAAUCAAUGCGUUUGUGAUCCAAACUGUCCUUUGGUCCCAAUACAUAUUAUGAUUUUCCAAUUUAAACAUUAUCAUUAUUUCACAUCACAAUCAAUUUCAUUUAAUCAUGAUCACACUUCCCACUUGUUUUUUAUUUAUGUACGUACCUUUAGCUUACCUCCAUAAAAUUGUUUAUGACGUGUACCAAAAACAAAAUUGUUCGUCGAGUGUCGAGUGUCGAGUGGCUGUUCAAUUUAUCCACUAAUCAUGGGUUUAAUUUCUGUCCAUAGAAUAUAUUUUAUGACUAGUUAAUUGUAAAGGAUAUGUGAUUUAAAUCACCUUAUUGUUAAGUUUUUUUUUUUUUAAACUUUCGCCUAGGUAACUUCAAUUAAUGGUCGAUGACCAGGACAGAUUAGAAUCUAAUAAUAAGUAGAAUAUAAAUAAGUUAAUUUAAUAGUUAAGUUAAUUUAAUAGUUAAGGUAAAAAAUUAGAAAAAAAAAUUAUUCGAAUUUUAGUUUGUGAUGAUUAAGCUUGUUUCAUAGGAAAGAAAUUAAAUUGUAGAAAAGAAUUGGUGUUUAGAGUGUGAACAUAAAUAGUCAUAUAAUAUUAAUUUUAACAAUUUAAUAAUUUAAUUGAAAAUUUUUAAAUAGUUCGAUAAUUAAAUUAUAAAUUUUUUAAACAAAUGAUUAAAAUAAAAAUUUACUCAUAAUUUAGUAUUAAUAAUAUUUUAAUUCACCCAAAAAAAUGUAAAAAUCUUUUUAAAAUUAAGAAAUAUAUAUAAAAUAAAAGUGAAUCUUAAAAAGAAAAUAAAAAAAGAAUCAAGGAAAAAAAAAAACGCAUGAUUGGCAAUGGGCCAGUAAUACUAUCUUUCAGCCCCCAAUUCCUCACUCGCGCUUCGUUUCGCUUCUUGUAAUUACCACCAAUGCCCGGAAGUGACCCGAUACCCGACCCGGAAACCCUACAACCCGGCAAUGCCAUUGAUCUCGAUGGUGAAGAUUACGAUGACGAUGAAGACGAUGCUAUUGAAGAAGACGAUGAAGAUGAAGAUGAAGAUGAAGACGAAUACGAAGAAGACGAAGAUGAAAACGACGACGUCUUGUUUGAACCCGCCACUCCCCGCGCGGUGAAGCUGAAAAUGGACACACUAGUCCGACGUAUGUUGACCGGCCCCGUUCCGAUUCACGUUCACAACGUGAUCAUCAAAGGGAACACGAAGACCAAAGGCUACAUAAUCGAAACCCAGGCGUCAGAGGCUUUGAAGAAAGCCACCACGAUGCAGGACCUGUUGCGAGCAUCGGACGCUGUGAAUUCGAGGCUGAAAUCCCUCGGUCUCUUCGAUUCGGUUGCGAUCACGCUCGAUUCAGGUCCGCCGGAGAUUCCCGGGAGCGUCAACGUUAUUAUUAAGGUCGAAGAAGCGAGGAAUCGGGUAUCUGGAGAGAUUGGAGCUUAUACGAAUGCUGAGGUACAUUUGCUUAGCUUUUCUUUUGCUGGUGAUUGAGUUAUUGUGAAUAUAUUAAUGUAAUUGGGUAGAAUUUUAGAUGGAUAAGGCGAUAAAAAUUAUUAAAAUUGUUUCUUGCCUUAGAAAAAAAAUGCUUUCCGUUGCAUUUUAAUUGGGAUAAAAGAGCCAAAUUUUGGUCUAAACUAAGGUAGAAGUAAGCUUAAGCUCUUAAAUCUUAAAAUUUAGGUCUUCUGAGUUUGGUGUUGAGAUGUGUUACAGAGAUAAAAUGAGUGUUGCUGCGCCUAAGUAUUACUCAAGAAAAGCACCUCAGACUUAUCCAGGCGAGGCUCUUUCAAUCAGGCGUGUGCCUAGGUGUGCCUUUUUGUAAGGUGAUAGGCGUGUAAAAAAGGCCCGGCUGAUUGAAUUCCUCUUUAAAUCCUUUUAUUUUUCACUGUUUUCAUUUGAUAUUACGUUUACUAGUAAGAAAGGGAUCAUAUCGAACUCUAUACUUCUCAAUGUAUGAGCAUUCAACAACAGACACUGAUUAAAAGGAUAUCAUGUAUAGUGACCAAUAGAAAAACUGCAUGUUUCAUAGAUAAACUAAACCACACUUUAGAGUUUACUAUAUGUCUUAAGCUUUGUAUAUUAUAUAUACACACAGACUUGUAAAAAGUAAACUCACGCAUAUAUGUAUUGCGCUCUACUUCACUCAGGCUAGCACUUUUUGUUGCACCUUGUGCCUGAGGCAAUGUUAGAGUUCUGCUGCCUAGUGCGCUUUGUGGCCUUGACAACACUGUUCAACAGCAAACAUUGACCAUAAGGAAAUCAUGCAUAUUGACCCACAAAAAAAUUGCAUGUUUCAUGGAUAAACUAGAUAACAUUUUAGAGUUUACUAUAUAUCUUAAGUUUUAAAUAUAUACACGCACAGACUUGCAAAAACUCGUACAUAUACGUAUUGUGCUUUACUCCACUCAGGCUAACGCCUUUUUUUUUUUUGUCUUGCACCUGAGGCAAUAUAAGGAUUCUAGCACCUUGUGUGCGCCUUGUGCCGUUGACAACACUUGAAUCUGGAUUUCUGAUUUAGUCUUAUUGUUGAAUUCUUACUUUGUGAUAUGCUCGCUCUUUAGCAUUUUCUUAGCCACUCUAGUUUGGGAAUUCUUAGCUAAUUUAUAUUUGCAGAAGGUUACGAAUAAAAGAAACAUAUGUUAUGGAAUAUAUACAUAUAUUGCUGUAUUUCUGUUUUGUUGAAUUAUAAUUGUCUGAUCUUUUUGUAGGCUAAAUCUUCCUCAGUUGAAGGAUCCAUUAAGUACAAGAAUUUGUUAGGGUUUGGGGAUCUAUGGGAUGGUUCAAUUGCUUACGGUUUUGACCGCACAGCGGAGGUAAGUGCUGGUGUAUAUUUGCCCAGAUUGAAAACGUUGGUAGCUCCUGUGACGGUUCGCGCAUACUUGUUGACCCAAGAUUUGCUGACCUUUUCUUCUUACAAAGAGCGUUCCAUUGGACUUUCUCUUGGCUUAUUUUCGAAUAGAUUUCACAACUUGGAGUACCACCUUGCAUGGCGUAACUUGGUAGAUCCAUCUCAAAUGUCCUCAUCUGUAAAGAUGCAGCUUGGACAUGAUUAUCUUUCAUCCUUGACGUAUACAUUAAAAAUUGACAAGAGAAAUUCUCCUGUGAGGCCAACUAAAGGAUAUGCUUUUAUUGCUAAAACUCAUAUUGGUGGCCUUGCACCUGAUAGUCAAAGCUUAAGAUUCCUGCGCCAGGUUUGAUACUAAGCAUGGACUUCUUAUUGCAGGUUAAGUUGAAUGUAUAUUGUCAUACUGUUAUCAGUUUGGAGUUUAGACUUUGAUGUAGAAUAGCUUUUGUGUGCUAUGUUUUCAUGUGAAGUAGACGGAAGAGUGUUAGGCUUAGGAAUUAUUAUCUAUCCUUGUAUAUGCAUGUUCUUUUAUUUGUGUGCAUGAAUUCCAUAUUUUUAUUCGAAACCUUCAGGAAGCUUAUUUCUAGAAGUGUGAGCAUUAAUGGUGCAAUUGACUGCUAGAUGGAAGUUUAGUGCAAUUGACUGCCAGAUGGAAGUUUACGUAUUGUGGGGCUUUUCUUCUUUAAUGUGCUAAGUUAGUUUAUUUUUAUGAGGAAAUAAUGUCUUAUUUUGUUUCCCUUGAUGUGGAAUACUGGCUUUGCCAUUUAAUCACAGGCAUAAAAGCAUCUUAUCUAAACUCGGCUUAUCUUUCUGGGUCUCUAGUAUCUGAAUUUUGUGUAUGAAUACAAAUGACCAUGUGAAUUUGCCACUGUUUUUCAUGAUUAUAUUUGGUUUCUUUUUGUUGUAGACCUUUCAUGUUAUCAUUGUUGUUAUAUAGACUAGCUGUUAGCUAUUGUACAAUUUUGCUGUCAAUUUACUUCUAUAACUCACCUGAUUUUCUAACAGGAGUUCGAUCUUCGAUGUGCCAUCCCACUUAGAUUUUAUCAUGCAGCUCUUAAUUUUGAGAUUUGUAGUGGUGUUAUUUUUCCAUGGGGGAGUGGGUUCUUAAACAGGACUACAUCCAUACCGGAAAGAUUCUUCUUAGGUGGCAAUCUAUCUCCAGUUUGUGCUUUAGGGGGUCCAAAAGCAUCAUGGGGAUUUAAGACAAGGGCAACGAGUUCCUAUGAACCUAAAAGUCAGAUUGAUGAUGAGAUCGCUGAUGUUGCUAGUAGGGAUUCUCUUGGAGGAAACUUUACUGUUACUGCUCUAGCAGACCUUUCAUUUGACCUUCCAACUAGGUGGUUUAGAGAAAGGGGAAUCCAUGCACAUGUCUUUGCUUAUGCUGGAAAUGUUGCCAUGUUAACAGAGAAUGAGUUCCGAAGUUUCUCCAUGCAGAAGUUCAUAGGCUCAUUCAGAAGUUCAGCUGGAAUUGGCAUUGUCAUUCCUACAAACCGAUUUCGCAUGGAGGUUAAUUUUUUUGGCCCUUUUAUUUAAAAUUUUAAACCUAAGCAGCAGAGAAUUGGAUAGAAAGAAUGGCUUAGAAUUCAAAAUGUGUACAUUUCUAUUAGCCAACUCUUUUAGGUUUUUGAUUGUCAUUUUUGACAUGGUAUAUGUGCUGCUGACAUUCUUGAUUCAUUUGCCAGCUUAAUUAUUGCUACAUACUGAAGAAAUUUGCUAAUGACCAUGCAAAGGCUGGCUUUUGGCUAACCUUCUCUCGGCCAUCGUAGAACGUUGAACUUUUCUGCUAGGUUGGCAUCUGGUAACAUUGGUUGCACACGGUAUUACACUGAAGCCUGCCAUUUGAAGCAGUUAAGUUAUUUGGAGACCUUGGCAGUUCUGCUUCUUCAACAGUUACUCGUGUUUCCCUUUUUUUCCUCAAUAAUGGGAGGGAUUAUAACUGCAUUUCAGUGAUAGAACUGAUAGGUUUGCUUUGGUUACUGAUGACAUGGUUUUCUUUUGGGAGCAUUACUCUUUUCUUUCCUCAUUUGUCCAGAUAUCUUGUUUAUCAUUGUGUAAUCUGACGUUUCGAUGGCCGGUUUGUACGGCUUUGGAUAAUGAUUUUAUGUUGUUGAGCUGAAAACAAAGGAAUAAAUAGAAAGAAUCCCUAUUGUUUUUGCUGUAAAGGUUUUUUUUUUUUUUUUUUUUGAAUGCCAUAAUUUGAUAUUUAUGCUGAAAAUUGAAAUGAAGUGAAUCCAUGUGAAGGUUCUUUAAUGAUAAACACCGCUCACAACAUACACCAUCUAUACCAUACAAUUCACAAUCAUUAGAUUAGAUGAAUUAACUGCUAUUUAAUAAAUUGAAAAUUUUACCUAACUUUUCUUGUUUCUUUUUUGAGUUAAAUUUAACUCUUAAAAAGAAUUGUAUUUUUAAUAAAAAUAUUAAUUAAAACUUGAAUUUUUAAACAUGGUAAUUCAUGUUAAUUUUUAUACGACAAAUAGUAUUAUGUCAUUAUGAAGUACAUGUGAGUGUCAUGAAAAUUAAUGUUUUAGUUAGCAUUUCGGUUAAAAUAAUGAUUCGACACUUUUUGAAAAGUUAAUGAUUAACUAAAUUGACAAAAAAUAUAAACAUCAAGGGAUAAAUUUAUCAUUAUACUAUUAUUUUAUUUUGUAUAGUUUUAAAUAAAAGUUAAAUAUAAAAAUUUGGAUAUCUAAUAAUUUAACAAAUAAAGAAGAGAUAAAUGAUUUCAAAUAUAUUGUUUUAAAUAAAAUUAACUUAACAUUUUUAACCUAUAACAAUCGGCCUACUUAUUUUAUUCAAAAUAUGAGAAAAAAUAUAUAUAUCAAUUAAAAAGCUAAUGGAAUUAUAAGCACAUUUUAAAAAAAAAUUAAAUAUUAAAAAAUUUCAUUAAAUCAAAUACACCCUAAAUCUGUACAGGUUUAAUUGGCAGCCAUGAGGAGGAUAGGCGUCAAUUAAUGUUUCAUAAAAAUGUGAGAAAGAUUAAAAUGCAAAAGAAAAGGAGAAAGGCAAUCAUCUCCUUCACAAGAAAGUUGGUUUUAAUAUUAUGAAUCAAGUGAUUAGUUAAUUAAGUAACAAAAUACUUUUGUUUAAUUAAAGUUUUAAUUCACAUAAGAUUCAAUUAAGUAACAAAAUGUAAUCCUGGAUUUGAUAUUGUAAACAAAUUCAACUUGAAUUGGCUUUAUAUUAUCCAACAAGCUUCCAAUAUUAUUUUCCCAUUUGGUCAUGGCCAUUAAAAGUGUCUGUCCCAAAGCAAUAAAAUUGCUUAUUUAAUCCAUUAGAUGACAAAUGAUUUCAAGGGAGAUUUUUAAUCUCUAUUUUAUAAUUUAAAGGAUUGAUUGAAUUAUUAUCCCUCACUUCAAAUUUUGUUGUGAAAUUAUCAUAAAUUUAAUGGGUUUUGAAUCUAAAAUACCAUACUCUUUUAAUAUUUAAUUUUACCAUUUCAAUUAAAAAUUAAAAAAAAAGUUAUUAACUAUUACUACUAAAGAUUUUAACUUGUAAUUCUUAUUUAGCGACAAUAAAUAAUGUGUAUAUUUUUAUUUUGCAUUAUAAAUCAUUGAAUUUUGAUUUAAUCAAACUAUAUCAUUUAAUUUUAAUUAUUAAUUACUUUCAAUAAAUAAUAUUAAAUUUAAUUUAAUGAAAUAACUAAAUCCACAUUCCUGUUUUGUAUGCUUUUAACAUGUCAAUAAAUUAACCUAAUUGAAAUUUUAAAUAAAAAAUUUUAGAUUUAUUUUUUCAAAGUUCGUUUAGGUGACAAAAGAGAGUUUUUAUUUUGUUUUUUUUCCUCUUAGUGCAGACAACAAGAUUAGGAUAAUUAUUAGAUUAAUAUUAGAUUAGUGUUACUUUAAAAUCAAAAGAAAAUAUUUGAUGCACUGCUAAUUGAAUUUUUAGAUUUCACAAAUAAGGAUGAGGUUAACAAGUGGGGGUAUAAUAAAAUAUUUUUAAAAAAUAAAAUGUAUGACAAUUUUUUUAAGGUUGUCUGUAAAAUAAAAAAAAUACAAUUUAAACCACUAUUAUAAAUAUUUUAAAAUAAAAUAGCAAGAUAAAUCGCUAAAAUAAAAAAAAAUUUCCAAAAUGAAAAAGCGAAGAUAGAUUUAAAGUAAAAUUUAAAAGGGAUAAACAAUGAAAAACAUACGAAAGGACAUUUGAAGUAAAUACUCAUUUUUAUUAUUGAAAAUCCCUUUUCAAUUUUUUUUUUCGAUUUGCAUGCCGUUAUUUCAUUGAGCACAGAGAUUUUAAAUAAAUCUCUUUAAUUUUUCUCGAAAAUCAGGAACAAUGAUUAAAAAUUUUAUAUUUUUAUCAAAAAUCUGAAUAAUUUUCAAUAAAAAUAGUACUUUAUGGGUUUCAAGACCCUUGCACCAAAGAGGUCGUGCGUUUCCGAGUAUUUGAAGGAAAUGAUGCAAGCAAAGGGGCAUGAUGACUUUCUUCCAUUUCUUAUUUUUUGGUAGGGUUUUAUUUUUUUAAAAAGAGGGAGAACGAAUGUUUUUGCUUGUUAGUUCCAGAUAUUAGGUGAGACCAUAAGAAUUGAGAGAACACGAAAGAAGAAAUUAGGAAGAGUUGAAAGAAAUAUAUAUAUUUUUAAAAAUAUUAUUAAAAAAUAAAAUUUCAAUUAUGUAAGAAUAAAUUUAUAAUUAAUUGAAUAAUAAUUUUUAAUCCAGUUUUUUUUUAAGAUUAGAAAUUAUUAUUUAAUUAAUUCAUUAAUUUAUUGACACGUUUAGAAAAAAAAUUAUAAGAAUUUAUAAUUAGUGAAUAAUUUUAUAAUUUUUAUUAGAAAAUUAUCGAGGAAAUAAACAUAAUACAACAAAACGUGAUGCGCUAAUAUACAGUACAUCAACAUUUCUUUUUUGUCUUUCCUUGAAGUUGCCUUACGUUCUUUUUAACCUUUAAUUAUUGUUUAUAAAGUAUUUUAACCCAUACCUAAUACCUUUAAUUAAAAUGUCUCAAAUUUUAAUAAUUCUAGCUACACAUAUUAGCUUUUAUUGUCGUCCGCAAAUAUUUCUUGAUACCAACAUUUUUUAAUAUUGAGAAAUUCUAGGAUGUGUUUGUUUUAAGCUUUUCAAUGUUUAAAAAUUAUUUUAUUUAGGUAAAAGUUUUGAAAUAUUUCAAAAUUUGUAAAUUGUUUUAAAAUGGGAUUUCAGCAACUCAAUUUCUUGGAUGAAUUUCAUUUGUUUAAUAGUUUUUUUUUUUUACUUAUACAAGUUAUGACAAAUCAAAUCUGACUUAUUAUUCACUGUAACGUGUUUAGGUGAAAAUUUAUAUUUGAAUAUGAAGUUUAUAGCAAAACCCAAAACCCUAAAAUGUAAAUCAUAAACCUUAUGCUAAAUCAUAUAACCUAGACUUCUUUAACCUUGCAUCUUAAACAAGUAAUCCAAACCUUUAAAUUAGGAAAAAGAAGAAACCAAAAUACAAAAAAACUUGUACAAUUUGUAGAUCAAACAUGAAUCACAAACCAACUUUUAAAAUUUUAAUAUUUAUAUAAAUUUAUUGAUAACAAAAUUAAUUACCAAAUAUGAUUCAAUUUAAUUAUGGCUCCCCACCGGAUUUUUGGUCUAACUUUUGAUCCCAUUGAAGACAUUGAUACUAGGGCUCCUUUUGUUUGCUUGUAAAAGCUUUUCUGAAAAAUAUUUUUAACCUUUUCCACCAUUUGUUCGGUGGAAAAUAAAUUCCCACCGUAAAAGCUUUUCCAACACACGGGAAAAUGAUGCCUUCUUCUGGGAAAAUGUUUUACACUUUUUUUUUUCCCGGUAAGACAUUUUCCAAUCGAUUUUCCCUUCACAUUCCAACACUCUGCUAAAUCUUCUCCCCUUUCCCUUUCCCUUUCCCUUCCCCUUGGGUUGCAAAUCAGUGCCAUUGUCAGGUACCCUCCUUUAUAUUCUCUCUAGUCUACCCAUUUUUAUCUCUUGGAUGAUUCUGAUCUUUGUUAUCUAUCUUUCUUUCUUUUUUUUUCAAUCUCUUAGCAAAUUUGCAUAACGAUCCAAGAAUUAUUUGUCCUGUUUAAGCAGUACAACUAGUGCAGUAGGAAUUUACAGAUUGCGCCUAUUAUCACCCUCAUUGAUAUGCACUUUUUUUGAGUUGAUCUCCAUUCUUGUUUUUGUUUUUAUCUUUUAAUUCUUUUUCUCGCUAUUCUCAUUUUACUGUAGUUGAUUUGGGUAAAUAUUAUGGUUAGGCUUGAGUGGUGUAAUCCUUACCUAGAAAUCAACAUUUCCUGUAGUUCUUAUAUAAUUGAGAAGCAGAAAGGAAUGAGCAAAGCAUCCUUGGUUUUAGUCUUGCAGAUUCUUGUCAAAUGCCCAUUGACACGCUGCCAUCCAUGACCCAAAGUACGAGAGCAAGUAGGUCUUCCUUUAGCUCUAGCAAUGGGCAUGAAGAAGUUCAUUUUCACAGUGUUGCUUCUAUUUCAAAUGGGGAUGACUAUGAUAUGUGAGCAAAUAAACCUAUGAUAUUUUCUGACCAAUUGUGAUUGUAUAAUAUUUUCAUGUGUGUUUUAUCGUGCACUAAUUGACUUGUAAGAUUGGUUUAUAUGAUGCAAAGUAAUUGCACCUUUGUCUAUUCAGUUGAAGUAUAAUAUUUCACAGAAAUGAUGUAUACAAGAUGGCUGAUUAGGUUGUGAAAAGUUAUAUUGACUUUGUUCACUUCUAAUCUUGGUUUACAGGUUCAUAGGUUGGAGAAUUUGUAUUAUGAAACAUAGGGUUUUGUGAGGAGUAAUGUAAUUUUGUUGUAGGCUAUAUUAAUAUAGAUGUAAUGUAAUUUAGCUAAUGACAAAGAAGAUGGUUCAAAUUUGAACUAGUUUUGCAUAUUCAUUUUGAUUUUAUUAAUAUAGAUGUAAUGUAAUUCAGUUGAUGCCAGAGAAGAUGGUUCAAAUUUGAACUGGUUUUGCAUCUUCAUUUUGAUUCUAUUGGCAAUAAUAGAUGGUCCCAUUUACCUCCUUUUAAAUAGAAUGGAAGAUUAUUUGACCAUUUUUCAACAAAAUUUUAUUUGUUCUCUAAUUGACAUGGAAUCUUUUACUGUGUAUUUUUAGAAUAAAGAACAAACAGAGCCAUUACCAAAGAAGCAUAGGAGAUACUAAGGCCAUUGAAGUUUGGAUUUUAAGUAUACCAUCUUUCAUUGGUCACUAACAACAAGAUGAUAAUGCUAAUACAGGAAUGCUCCUUUCCUUGUGGGCAUAACCUGUGUAUUAAUGGAUUUUUGUAAUUUUUUUUACCUUUUCCUUGUGCAAGUGCCUUGUGUAACAUGGUUAUAUUUAUGUAUGUAUAUGUACAUGUAAAAAAAUUGUGAAUUCAGUCAUAAUGUUGUAGUUUGGUUUACACACUUUGUUUAGUGAACUUAGCUAAACAAUUAAAUGAAAAGAAAAACUCAAAUAUAUGUUUGUUUCAUUUAAAAUAGUUUUUUUUAAAUAGUUUUUUUUUGAAAUAUUUUCAAGAAAGUGAAUUUAGCUAAACAAUUAACAGACAAGAAAAAUUCAAAUGUAUGUUUGUUUCGUUUAAAAUAGCUUUUUUUAAAAUAGUUUUUUUGAAAUAUUUUUAGGAAAUCUACCAAACAAUAGAAAAUAUUUUACACAGAUUCAACCAAACACUAGAAAAUAUUAGCUUUUCCAGAAAAGAAAAUUAUUUUCUAGAAAUUAUUUUCCGGAAGCCAUUUUCAGUCAAACAAACGGAGCCUAGGUGUGGUCUACAUUUCUACAUAAUCCAAUACAUUUUGGUUGACUGAUGUCCCUGAGGUUUAUUUCAUUGUGUAUUCUAAUUGGUUGAGAUCGACUUUUUAAAUCUUCACAUUGUUUCAAUUUUGACACAAUUUGUAAAUCUUAUGUUGUUCUUAACACUCCUCAUAUCAAUAAACUAUGAAUAUAGAAUCAAAUUCUAUAGAAAUUAUCAACAUAUUUUGUGCAAUAGACGUGAACCUUAUUUCGUGCAUCAACAAUAACAAUGUAUAGACAUGGGUAUUGUAGCAGUUAAAAGUGCCUACUAUCGAAACCAUUUUUUUUGAAAAUGGGAGUCCACUUUGUUUGAAAAUGAAAAUUAAAAUGGGAGUCACCACUGAUCUUUAUUAUUUAAGUGUGAUCGAAUCACCUAGAAAUUUGGUCAUUUUAAUAAAAUAUUUGAUUCACUAAAACAACGAUUUUUGGUCUACAAAAAUUAAGAAAAUGGGUUCGGGAGUCGGUUACGUGCGAGGAAGGAUUAGCGCCCUCGUCACUCCCAAAAUUGGUACUUAGUCAAUUAAUUAAUGUCUUAAUGCCGAGAGUUGAAAUUUUAAAAGAGUUUUAAAAAGCACAAUCCCUUCUUUAUUCACGUUCAUACAAAACAGGCUUGAAUUAAGUAGAAACGAGCAUCAAAGGCAUACUCGUCCCAAGAUAGCAAGAUGCCACAUCCUGUAAGUUAGGAUGUGACGUUUGAACCCUCGAGAACAAGUUUGCCUUUAAUUUUUAUCGCAACUUUGUAUACUUUGAAAUUUAAAAGGAUAUUUAGCUAUUUAGGUUUAACAAGAAAAUCGAAACCUCGUAAGUUAGAGUGCGAUUUCUUGAAUUCUCGAAACACGAAAUAUUGCCUUACUUUGAGGAUUUUCCUUUUGAAUAAUAACGAGCAUGACGUUUAACGAUGUGCGUUUAUUUUAUUUGGAAUAAAAAUAAAACGGUCUAUAUUGGAUAAAUACAUUUGAGUUUAAUACGCGAUAUGAUUUAAACGAAAUAAAAUAAAAUGUAAUAUAGAGCAUGGAAUAAUAACACAUGAAUACAAUAUUAUACAAGCGAAUGACAAUAAUAUGAAAAUACAAAUGAACGAAUUAUAAUAUGCAAUGGCAAAAAUCACACAACACAUAUUAUCUAGACAACAAUAAUAAUUAAAGGAAUGAAAUAAAUAACAUUAAGCCAUUUAAAAUGAAUAAUGAAACAAUUUUAAAUAAGUAAUACAUAAAAAAUGUUUAAAAUGGAUACUAUAAAAAAGCAACUUAAAGGAAAGAGUAUAAAACAACUAAAAAUCAUUAAUUUACCAAAUAAUAAAAUAAUAUAUAUAUAUAUAUGGCAACUUAAAAUAAAUAAUUUAAUAAACAAUUUAAAAUGUAUAAAAAGUUUAAGAAAACUAAUAUGUGAAAAAUAAAUUUAAAAUAAUAUAUAUAAAAAAUAUAUAUAAAACAAUUUAAUAUAAGUAAUAUAUGAAAUCUUAAAGUAAAUAAUAAUAGAACGAUUUAAAAUAAGUAAUAUAAAAAACUUAGAAUAAAUAAUAGUUACAAACAGUUUUAUUAAAAAGAAUGAAUAAAUAAAUGAAAAAAAAAGAUUAGGGAUUAGAUUGAAAUCAAACUCAAACUUAGGGUACAAAUUGGAAAUAAAAAAAACUAAAGAGGAUCAAAAUGAGAUGCGCCGAAACAAGUGGGGGACAAAUGGACAAAUAGUCCAAUUUUAGGACACGUGUCUCUUCCCCAUAGCUUGGCGUACUCGAGACUAAAUCGAACUAUGCGAGAAAUAUUUGGGCAAAAUUUAAAAGAAAAUAAAAGGUAAGUAAAAGGACUAAAUUACAGCGUACUGUGAAGGUAGAGGGAUCAAAGGGAAAAUAUCCCAAAAGGGCAAAACGCGCGGAUCCCCUCUGGAGAGGGUGGGUCGCGCGCGGGUAUGCCAAAAACGACGCUGUUUCAACGUUGGUGUCCCAGGUGCAAAACAGCACCGUUUUGCCUUAUUAUUUACGUUAAAAAAUUUCAUUUUUUUUUCAUUUGCUUCUUUUUCUUUAAAAAAGAACAACAAACACCUCCUUUUCCCAUUUCUCUCUUCGGCUAGGGUUUUGAAACCCAUCAUCGCCGCCGCCGUCACGGCGCCACCAUGGGCGGUGGUUGAGGCAGUGCGAGACGGGCUUUCUGGCCCUUUUUUAAGACACCCCCGAAGGCCAUGCCUUCUCAGUCCAAAAAGUGCGGAAGAAAAGGGUCUCUUCCCUCCCUAUUUGAUCCGAUCCCGACGACGGAGGAGAGACCUCCAGCUACGUAACCACAGGCGAUUCCGGUGAGAUCCUCUUCUCUUUCCUUUUAUUUAUUUUAUGCCUUUCUUUUUAGAAAUAAUUUUGUUCAAAAAAUAAAUAAAAAUAAAAGGAAAACAGGAAAUGAAAAGAACAACCAAAAUAAAAAAUCAACCUUGUUAAACUUCUGUUUUUUCUUUUUGAUUUACUCGUGCGCGUAAAAAAGUACAAAUGGGAAGAAUCGAGCUCUUAUAACCGAUUAAGAUGACUAUUCACUUCAUAUUUUUGUUGUUUUUUGCUUGGUUUCUUCUACUGCCUGUGUAUUGCUCUUUGUUUCACAUUUACUUCUUGUUGCAGGUGUCAGAGAGGCGUGGGACGCGUGAAGGGGUGGCGUGCUUGGAGAAAUGGUACUGGUCAGGGGCGUGGUGGCCGAGGGGAGGCCAAACAUUCGGCGGCAGCAUGCUUGGGUGCUAGGGCUACUACUGUUUUAUUUUCUUUGUAAUGGGUUAGGGUUAGCUUUUUAGGUUUUGGGCUGGUAGUUUGGUCUUGAUUGGGCUGUGUUAUUUGUUGUAAUUGCACUCUUAAUUUGGACAUUUUAUUUAUAGGUUUGGGUUUUAAUUUUGUUUUAUUGACCUGAGUCAAAAUUGGUUAUUACACCUACAUUCACAUUGCUCCUUAUUUAGAUUAACUUUAAACGACCUUAGUGGUUACUUAUCAUAUUGGAUCAACUAACUCUUCAACUAUAUAUGUGUUAUUCGAAUGAGAGAAUUCAAUGUCAAGAAGGUAUUGGUAGUGUUCAUAAGAUAUUAAAGUAUUGAGAAUUUGAGUAUCGAAGUUGAAGCCCAUCUUACAAAAGAUUAUGUAGCAAGUUGUUAAUAAUUUUGAUUAUUUAGACUAGGAAAUUUGUCCA